CACAUUACCCAAUUGCUAUAGGAUUCAUUCUACCCAUGUCUAUGAAGUAUGUAAACCAGUCCACCAAGUCAGUCCACCACCCUUACACUAGUAAAAGAUGGGAGCAAGGCUCUAUCCAAAAUAGGAAUGAGUUUACUUAGGUAUAGUAGCAAUACCAAGACCAGAUCAGAGGAGAUAUUCCCACUUUGCUAUCAAAAAAGAUGGGUUUCGGGCAACAAAAUCAGUCUUGUUCCGCUGCUCUAGCUCUAGGUAUUCUAGAAGGAAGUAACCGACCUGACAAGUAACGUAGCUAGUGACAAAAGCAAGAAAAGGAAUCAACUUAUAUAAUAUGUUAAUAGGAGUUGACAUCUUUAGGGUCGAAUACUGGACUUGUCUCCUCUCUUACAACUAUGAACUGCUUCCCUUGUAAACCCUUAACCUCUAAUAAGUGUUAACCUCGACCCGACCUCUGUUAUUAAUUAGUAACAAGUUCUUCUAUACCUCUAGCUAUCAUCUCGCUGGCAACUAAUCCUCUCCUCUGGCUCCACAAACACAUAGCAAGUAAGUCCGCUGGACUACUAUCGAUCAAGGCACCGGACUAAAGUAUAUGCUUGGCUCUAUGUCUUUGUAGUAGUUACUUGCCUAGUGUCUUGUCUGCUUGCCCGGGGCUUGUACCCUCGAAUAGAAGUCGCCAAUCUAGCGAUACCAGACUCUCUGAAUGCAAAUGAGAAUGAAAUCAGUGGUGAGUAAAGUAACCCCCAUAACGUCAAAAGCCAAAUGAGACCACUAAAGCGAGACGACCUAGAAGGCUAGACCUUCAAAGACCUAAUUGGGAUUGCUUGUUGAAGGACAGGAAGCUUGAGAAACACCUAUAACAAUAAUGGAAUAACACAAUAGGAAAUACAUGAAGUUAAGCCGGAGAUCCAGAUCAUUAGAAAUAGAUAAGCGGUUCGAUAGGUCUUUAUACUAUACUAUUAUCCGAUAGGUCUUUAUACUAUACUAUUAUAAGUAUGCGCGUACCUUAAAAUGUGUUCAUUUGCUUUCCAAGUGCUUAUCUCUUCGCUAUCAUCCUUAUGCUAAUGCGAAUAUCCCGUUUUCUUUCAGUUCUUCUUUCUCAAAUAUCCUGUUCUUUUCUUCCUUCUUAAAGAGAUAUGUCUCCUGCCCCAGUGUUGUUUGCAUCUCUAAUCUGACGUUAUUCUUCAGGAAAGAGUUGCCCAUUUCUUCUUUCAAUUUGACUAAGGAGAUUCAAUUGCUAACAAGCCCUUCGUUUCGUGUUUAUACUAUAUAAAAGAGCCUUAUGUUUCCAAGGCUAUCGCACCUCUAUCUUACGUCGGAGUAACGAGUUCACUUUCCAUUUCACUAACGACUGGUACAACACUAUAAGACUCUCCUCGAAAGGCAUAAACAGCUUUCCUUAAGACUUAUGGCGGCGACUGCUCUUAAAAAGGCUCCAUAAACCUUGAAUUGUCAUUUCUCAUCAAUAAAAAGAAAUGAGAUUUGUGUGUGCUCUAUGAGAUCGGUAAGAUUGGAAAGAGUGAUAUACGAGUGUCUGAUGGAUUUUUCUUAGAUCUUGUCUUGGUUCUAUUCGUUCUGGUAUUGCAAUCCUCCCUUUGAGUAAGUUACCCAGAAUAAGAAGGCGGCAAUAGAGGUGGGAAUUCACUAGUUAUUCCAGAUGCAAGCAUCUUUCCCUACUUUUCAAAAAAGCUGCUUCGUGACACCUUUCUCAUGGGCAAAAGCCUUGAUUUGCUACUCUCCUUUGCGAUAUUAUACUCUCCAUGGACUCACCCGACCCGAACUCUACUACGCCGCACUGACACCAGCACUCGAACCCUAACUUCUACUUUCUGCUUGCAGUUGAUUUUAUACUUCUUGAGCAACCAUUAAUAAGUCUGGACCAGUAGGGCCGGGAAGAGAUUGGAGUGUGCCGAUAGGAAUCUUAGAAUGGAAUGUAGCAACGGUUAAGAGCACUAGGGUAGAACUUUACUGCUUAUAAUUAUUCUCUAGCUUAGGAUCUUUAUCCUACUCGCUUCAUCAUUAAGAUAUGAUUACCUUACCAACUAGCUGCCCCCUAGCUUUAAGGCGGAAUCCGGAACUACCCUUUCUUUUCUUCCCUUGACUCUCUAUCCUCUUGCCUUGCCCCAACUCAUAUACUCAUCUGAUUGCCACAACUCAUAUACUCGGUUAAGCCUUAGCCUUUGACUCUAGAAUUCCACUUCACCAAAACACGGGAUUUUGGAUAGCCAAGUCAUUUUCCUUCUUAGCCGGGUUCACUUAUCUGAUCUUUUCACGUUUUCCCGUGUUUUUUCAUAGCAAUGUUAUUUUGCCUCCUAGAUCACCCAUUGGGAAUUCGAUUUAUGACGAAACCCGUGUUUUUUCAUAGCAAGGGUGAGACUCCUGCCGCGUAACAUUAGUAGUUACUUGGCCCCCUAAUAGAGAACCCCAAAGUCAUGCUCAUUUUAUGAAACCCCGGGAAAAAACAUAGCACUGGCAUUUUACCUACUAGAGCUCCCCAAUUGACUUCUUUUUUGACGAAACCCGGGGCCAAGCGUAUACUAACGUAGCGACCAAGCUUAGGCGUAAGACUAAGUGCGGUAGCCAGUAAAGAGUUAUUCCAAGUCAUAACCAAGUCCUGUUUUUGGGAGCGGUUCAUAGCAAAGUCAUUUCCCUUCUUAGCUAGGUCCAAAAGACGGAUUCUUUCACGAAACCCGGUAAACAGCGCUGCCGCUUUCCCGCUCGCUACCGUUUCACUCAACUCCUACCGCUUUUCAGCUCGCUGACGCUCUUUUAACUCGCUACCGUUUAGCUCAGGCUCCUACCGCACAACGUCCGAGCACAGAUACUGUAAUAACUUCGUUAUGACUUCUGACUAUUGCUGACGCACAACAUUAGCAGUUGUUUGUCCCGUUGCUUGGUCAUUAGUAGUUGCUUGGUCGAACACAUAACUAGUAAUAACUGGGGAACUCUAGCGGCCCUGCCGCGCAACAUUAGUAGUUGCUUGGCCCUAUUGUUGUUACUGCCGCACAACUACUUCCGUAGUUGCUUGGCGUCUAGUAGUUGCUUGGCAAACACAUCUUAAGGCAUAGCUCAUCAUAAAUAUACUUUAUGUUGUUUCUUAUUGUCAAAACAACUGCCGCGGAACAUUAGUAGUUCCUUGGCCCGAGUGUCUUGGCGGUCAUUAGCAGUUGUUUGUCCCGUUGCUUGGCGUCUAGUAGUUGCUUGGCCCCGCUUGUUGCUGACUUGAAAACAACACUUGAUACUUGACCUGGAGCAGAAGGAGACUCCACUGAAGUACCUUUACCGAUAAUGCCGCGCUACCAUUAAAACCCAGUACUAGAUGAUUUGAUUCCCUUAACGAAAACUCUGGCAGCAAGAUCUUGCUUGUUUCAUUUCCAUUUCACUUAUUUUCUAUCCAGUGCGCAUAUAAGAAGAUAGGAAUAUAAAUAUAAGAAGAUAGGAAUAGACGAGAGCACUUAGAGUUGGUCCCCGGGUCGGGAUAUAAAUGGAAAUAGACGAAACCUUCCUUUAAACGAUACCGCUUCUCUUGAUCAACUUGAACUUAUUGAGGGCUACUCCACUUGACUUUUGCAAUAUACAAUACUUUCUACUGCUUGAGCAACCAAGUAGGGCCUGUGUGAAGUCAACCACUCAUUGAAUCUAGAUCGCACAUUAUAGAAUCAAGUAAAAAACAUCAUUGUUGCAAAACUAUCCCCGCUCUCUCUGACAAUAGCUUAUAUCAUAGACUAGACGUAAAGCCAAUAACGGAACUCUAUGACAAGGAGUGUAAGCCUACUUAAGCGAACAAAACAUCUGACUUUAUGGACAACUUAGUGGUGACAACACAUCUGACUUUAUGGACAACUUAUAGACCAUAGUAACUCCUAACCGAGCUUAUGUUGCUUGUUUACUUGAACUUGCAAUAUAGUAGGGGAAGGGGAGCGCAUUAACUACAGGUGUUUCAACUUGGCAACGCCCCUUGCUUUCCUAUUUGACUUGAUACUUUACUAUGCUAUUUGACUUCCUGCCUUGCCUAUUUGACAUCCAGCUUGCCCACUAGCUGUGGAAUGGAACUACUCCUUUUCUUUCAAUCGAAUGCCUCAAGGCCUCUUUCUUAGCUUAGGUUAUCUCCUUGACAAAAAAAUAGACUACUACGAAGGCUGGUGAGAAUGUAAUGGAACUAUAUGGCGGAGAACUAACGAGAAAUCUUUAUCCAACAAUCACUUAAACAAAAAUCCCCGGUCAGGAAAAGCAAGCUCUAUCCAAGAGAGCAGGAACUUUGCACUCUAUUACUUAGAACUAGCAGUAACACUCGAAAGUAGGCCACUCACACUGCAACACGAGGGAAACUCACAAUGUAAAGGGAACUUCUAUAUUAAUAAAGAAUACACAGAUAGAUGGACUGAUACUAUAGAAAUAAGUGUGGAAUGGUCUUCUCAACCACUGAGAAAUCAAAACAGUAGGGUUUCACUAAGUCCCCUGCAGCACUCUUACCCGACGAUGACACAGCCCCAUGGAAAAGCUCUAUUCUUCCGCUUAAUGCUUCUGCUUGCUGACGGACUCCAAUGCGUAUCUCUUUUCUGCUAGACGGACUCCAAUGCUUAUCUUUUUGAUCUAUUGUAGGUUCAACCCCAGGUUAUGGAUCCAUGGUUACAGGCCAGCUAUCCUAUUGUCUCGUAUGGAUCGAUACUAGAAAACCCUACCAAGUGCCCGUGGAACGCAUUUAAAGGGCUAGAGCUAGAGACCGACGGGGAUCGGAUCGAGAAAACCAAUCGCGGGGAAGGCGGAAACAGCACCCAUUGAUACUCUUUCGGAAAAUGGGAAAACUGCUGGUAAGGUAAAAGGAGACUUUUAGAGGGCAAAAGGACGCACUUAUCCUAACACUUAAACAGAUGCGGUUGUAUAUCCUUUGUUUUCACUCACACCACUCUAUAUGGAUGGUGAUGAUUAGUCUCUUUGGUUAUUAGUAGAAAUAGAAGAAAAGCGCGUUAGCGAGUUCUGCCCACUACACGGUUGAAAGUAGGAGUCUAAAGUCAGCGGACCUACCCUACUGAACUUGAAAGUUGCAAAGCCAAGAAAACGAUCACUUUGAUACUUCACUCAAUAGGUACAGCCAAGAGAACCAGAACAAAAUAAUACUUAGGUAACAAUAGGUACAGCCAAGAGAACCGGAACACCAUUAUAUACUUGCUAGCCCUAAUAUACCUGAACUGAACGGAACGAAUUUGUCUUAUUCCCUCUUGCCCCCGGACUUUGAUUAUGGCCUUCCCGCUGUAGCUCAAAGCAAACUCCGUAAGCGCACCUUUCCUAACUCACUAUAGCACCCCUAAAUGAGAACCUAAACGGAACUUCUACAGAGAGCAUUGCUUUCUUUUACCGGGGUCCAAAUUGAUUGAUGAUACCCUACUUUCGCUGUUGCUUGCGCCAAACUAAGUUAGCGCUACGGUAUAGGUUGCUUGUUCCUAAGCUUGUUUCUUAUUAAUUUCAUGCGCCUGCCUUCCUAUUCUCUUGUUUCUUAUUAAUUUCAUGCGCCUUCCUAUUCUAUCAGAGAUUAAUAAACACAGCACUUAGAGCCGGUCUAUACUACUAUUAGAGCCGGUCUACAACUAUAAGGGUUCAAAACCCAGAUACUCCACUUUCCACUAAACAGCUUUGCCUGAGAGCAGCGAGAUCCAAAACUCCUUUACCGCCACAGCUUUGCCUGAGAGCUACGAGAUCCAAAACUCGCCACUGCUUCCCUUUUGCUUUUGCUUCAAAACUCUGUUAUGGAACUUUUGCCGUUCACUUCUCUAACUCUAACGCGAAUAGUAGUGUUCGUUCUGCUGCUUGUUGAGUUCGGCGUUGCUUGCUGAAAACACGGGUGACUUGCUUGCUCCCUUGCUUCCUCACUUAUGACUGCUGGCUCUGCUCUACCAAAGUUCCGGGAAUAACAGAAUCGAGUGCGGUGUACUACUUAUGUCAUUUCUUAAAAACAGAGCAUUGCUUAUUUAAAGCUAACGUUAGCGCCCCGAUAGCUCACUAAGGCUUCCUUUCCUUACCGGGGUGUUUAAGCAACUUGACUUGAUACGUGCAUGAACUACGCAGUAAGCUUCAUUGGGCCAGUGUGAGGUAAACACCUUGCUUUAAUUAAGGGGAAUGAAAUACAAAAGAAUAAGAAGUCGCAUAAUAUAGAAUGGAGUAAACGAACUGCUUGCUUUAAGUUAGAAUAGCUAUAGGUGCUUGGCUUGUUGCAUCUUAUUAGUGUAUCUAUGCUUGUCAUUAUUGAACCUAAUUCCUUACUUCUAAAGCAACAACAGUUUGGCCAGUGCUCAGUCAACUUUCUUCUUCUGAGACUUAUUUCAAAUCAUCUAUCUAUCUAUCUUGCACAAUAUAGAAAAUGAAAUAUGGUAAACAAACGGUAUUGCUUCCUAACUCACUCUCUCUCUCUAUAAGGCACCCGCCGGAAAGUAUGUUGAAUCGAAUUGAGGCACAGCACUGUUAUCAGAGUUGAGACUAUCGCCCCUGCCUUUCAUAAUUCAGAAUGGAAUUUGGCGUUAUCCGUUUCUACUAGCGAAAGACACACACCUAUUUGAGAAUGGAAUUUGGCGUUAUCAGUAUAGAUCUCAGUAAAAGCACACUACUUACUCUCAAAGGGAUAAUGUAGGCUCAGUUACGUUGCUUGGACCACAACUCCGUUUAGGCUGGAACUUCAUCUUUCUCGUUUUAGGGUUUACAGCCAGCCCCGCCCCGAAGAAAGCUCUUGUUGUUGAAUUGAGGCACAUGGUUAUAUAAUCUAUUUGUAUUUACUGUGGAACCCUUACUUAUUACAUCAAAGGUCUGCUCGAUUGAAUGAAGAAGAGUAACCCGAUCCACCGCUGAUCUCUUGUACCAGUGUAGUGUGAUAAGCCAGGCAUCAAAGAAAAGCAACCAGCUAACGACGCCUUAACGUUUUGAUGCUUGCUAAAGCAGAGUGAUUUUCAGGUUGGAGAGUCCGGAGAACAAGCAAACAAGUGAACAAACAACGGAACAAGAAAAGAAUGAAGCCUAUCCACACAAAUAUCUGAAUUAUUAACAAUACAGCUUUUGCUUCCUUAAAGAACAAAUAGGCGCCGAACACUGGACCGGGCCUACUGCUUUCCAACCUUCUUUUGACCUUGCACGCCUUUCUCUUAUUAUAUGAAAUUGUCUUAUAUGAAAUGUUUGAUAUGAAAUUAUCGUAUUAUAUGAUCUUCUCGGACCCUUUUUGCCAAAUCGGUGUCAAUAUUCUAUAGUAUGAGGUUCAACCAUUUGCGGAGCUAGUUCUAUUCCUCUCUCCGCUGUUUCGCCUCCCGCUUGCUCUAGGAUCUCAGGCCCUAAGCUAGAGCCGGCAUGGGAUAAGCAUGUUUCCCGCACCCCAUGAGUGGUAACUUGCUCGACCCCCUGCUUCGAGAGCUGACACCUCUCAAUUCCCAGUCUACCCUUUUUCUCAACAAGAGCACCCUUAACUCCUCUUUCAGGUAACUUAAGAAGUCUUCUGUCUAGCUUCGCUAACCUUUUCUGUGUGACAACAAGAUUUCAUUAUGUAGCUUCUCUGUUCCCAGGAGCUUCGAAGUCCUCGGCUCGGGGAUGUUGCUUUUCUAAUCCCAGCUCUUGCAACCGUACUUGUACUGGGAUAUGAGAAAGGCCGUAUUUACUUUACACCACCUACAAGCUUCGGAAGGUCGAGAUUUUAGGAAGUGUCAAAGAUGUCGCCAUCUUCGGGGACAAGAACAAGCUCAAUAAAAGCUUCCUUUCGAGGUUUCUUCUGUCUUUUGUCUUUUGAAAAUACCUAUAGGUUGAAGUUCACUCUAUAUCACUAAUGAUUCUAAGGGCAUUUAUUUGCCAUCGGCUCGGAUUCUAAUGAACAAGCUCCAAUCCACAGAGAAGAGAAGGAAGAGGAGAAGAGCUGGAAUAGUUUCAUAUAUGGAAGCCGGCCUUUCUUUAAGUACUAUGCUUCUUGCUAGUAGAUUGGAAAUGCUCACACCCAACCCCGUCAUUAUUUUGUCUUUGUUCCGUGGGGUAGUAGCAGUUACUUCCCUUUGUGUGUCAGUCUUCUAUUCGUUGUCAAUUAUGGGCCUUACACUGACCCCAGGAGGUACACUUUAGGUCCUUUACUCUCAUUCUCAAGGCAAUUCCAUUCUGGUGUGCGGAAGCCUGCUUUCUGCUAAGUACUUUAAGAAACGGCCUUAGCUGCUCAUCCCAUAACCCGCUUCCCUCGACUGCCUUCAGAGAAGAGUAGGGAGAUUUCGAAGAAUUCCAUUCCAGAAAAGUGGUCAAGGUUGGAAGGAAGAACAAGGCUAACGACGUAGCAUACAUUAGGCAAGACUAUCUUAUGAGAGUCUAAUUAGCGAGGACUAGCUCUAUUUGCUUGUGAGCGUACGAAGAGCGGUUACGAAUAAGAUCGGCAUGCAUGGUGAGCUAGGAGGUAGGGCUUAUUAUUUCGCGAAGGAAGGUCUACGAUCAGUCAACUGAAUGCUCUUUGAUGAUCUUUCUCUUUGGGUUGGUUGGGGCCCACGGGACUUAAGUGACUGGUGGCAACAACACUCCGUGCAUCCUUUGGAUGUGAAAGCCCCGCAUAGAGUUAAGCGCUAAGGGAAGCGGAGAGCUAGAGGUUAAUAGGUAAUGAAAUAGAGUGAGGAAAGCAGCUUCGGUUCAGUUCGGGUGCGCUUCUCUGACCCGGGAACCUUAUUACCAAGAUUAGAUACUCACCACCUAAGCGAGCCUUGACUACGAAAGCGAAACGUUGCGGCUAUUCUUCAUAUGUCAAAAAGAAAGAAAGUGAGAAGGAUUUGUUGAUAGUUGCAUUCUGACUUUAGAGUGGAGAGCAAGCACUAGAGUGAGUUUGAUUCUUCUACUUCUUUGUUUCAUCCUAUUUGGAGAGUGUAAUAUGAAGCUGUAUCCAGAUGUAGGGUAAGAGAGCGGUGUUGUCGGUUCUGAGUCUUAAGCGGUUGGUACGACUUAAUCAUUCGGUUCCUUUCCUAAAGUUGAGUUAGAGUUAAGCGAGUGAGAGGGGCGAUCUUAUUGCAACACCGCCAAGUCACUGCCAACAUAGCCCUGUUUUAUAGGCUUGAAAUGAACGAAAACAUCACAGUAGUCGUUUGAUGGCAAAUGCCCUAUAGACUUAUCGGCUUUAGAAAUGCAUUGACGCCUAACAUCUUGACCCUAUUGCUCUGCUCGGCUCUUAACAUCUUUGGUCAUAGUCAAUUCCAUUCUUAUGUACCAAGUCCUGUGCUCGCCUCACUCGAUCGACUCAGGCGUUGGUUUGAUUCCUUUUAUAUGUACCCGCUAAGGCAACCCUGUCCGCAUUGUUUUUGAUGUUUAGGAUUGAGCUUCUGAUGUAGUCAGUAGGAACCGUUGUUAUGUUUUGAGCGGAUCCACACACACCUGAACAGACUAGUCUACGCCCAGCCAGCCCGUAAGCCUUUCCCACCCCAGGAAAGCGAGCCCAUAAUAAGAGUCAGAUACCUGCCACCCUAUCCAAAUCGAAAAAUGAACAAGAAGAACGAUAAAGUAGGUAGACCCAUAGGAAGAAACGGACAUAAAUCUUGGGUACAUCCAAGAAUGAAAGAAGAACGGAGGGCUUUCUUUGAGCUUAUAGGUCUGGGAGUUCUUAGCUAAAUUGACUAACGCUCCGACUACCGAAACUAGCUUAGGAGCUUUUAAGCGGAAAUGAAAUGAAUCUAUCUCUUCCUACGUAAUUGGAAGAAGCAUAAAGCAGAAAUGACUUUCUGAAUCGUUACUUUCCUUUCACCUAUAGAAUCUUAUUUCUCUACGGUAUAUAUACGAGUAUCAAAUCAGAUUUCUCUACGGUAUAUAUACUAGUAUACUUUGGAAGGUAUAUCUACUAGUAUACUUAUUAAGCUGGGGCGGUCUCUUUUUAGUAAGUUGAAGGCCAGGCCCUUGCUUAUGGAUAAGCCGUUGUUUUCCCUCACAAUGCUGAAACCCAUAAAGUGUGAGUGCUGAGCCCUUUGCUUUGCUGUCAAUUUGACUCGGAAAGAAAAAGGCUUCAUUAAGUGGGGAUCUCCUCUAGUUCUGACCGUCCAGGUAUACUCUAUAGCUCUCCGCCGUAAGAACCUAAGAGCUAACUGCAGGCAGGAUAUAUUCUCAAGAAAGUCCAAUUGGGAGCCUAUCUCUUAAUCGGUAGCUUACGAGCAUAUCGACGUUCCAUCUCUGGGAGUCCAUCUUCUUUCCCGUUUGUUUAAGUUGGAGUUCCCUUCGGGAGGUGGGAAAGUUAGCUCCACCGGCCAGUCUCCUAGGGUCUAAUACUGGGAGUGACUACGGUUUCAAGGGGAGACGGCAAGUUAACAAGCAAGUUGAUUUCACCAAUACAGUGAGCUAGCUCCAUUCUUUAUUCCAGUGUGGAACUAGAACCAGCCUAUAAUCUAAAAGCAUUACCUACGAAGAUGGAUUAGGAUAGCUCAAAGACAGAUUAGCGGAAUUCCGAGUGAGUUUCUAGGCUAAGGAACGAACUUCCCGACAUUCCAUUUGAACCUUCGCAAAGACAAUGGUUGUAUAGAACGAGCUCAUAGCCCUAAUAGCAGAUUGAAACUGGAAUAGCUAGUAUGAAUCGCAAUCCCAAUGCAAUGCUUCUCUCUCUUUCCCUCUAUCAUUCCACUUCAUGUAAUAUUAUUUAGAUAACUUCAUGUAAUAUUUUUUAGAUAAGAUAUAUGGAGUAGGGAUAGAUAAGAUAUAUGGAGUAGGGACCAGUUAGCUGAAAGAGCGAGCCAAUCUUUCUUUCUUUUGAAAUCUGAAAAAAGAAAAGGAAUUUGGGAAACCAUAUGGUCUGCUGGCCUUAUCUCUACUCGAGUGUGUGAAGCAGGUUUGAAGGAUGGGAGAGAACAAUGGUAAACGGCUUUAUCCAACGGUGAACCAUCAAUCGCAAAGAUCGAGCCAUCAAAAGAAAAGAGGUGGAACAGAUCAACGAUCCUUCUAAUCCUAUUGAUCUAAGGAUGGAACAAAGCCCCGUCGUAGCUUCCUAUUAUCCGGUAAGCCGUUAAUACCCAGGUAGUUCUUAGAGGGUUGUGAGAGGGAGAAUCUGAAGGAGAUCAAGAGUCAACCAUCCUUCGCUGCAAAAACAAUACCUGCUGUGGACUUUGUGGACGUCUCAAAGCUUCCAGACCCUUGUUUUGAGGGGGAGAGACCACACAUAAAGAUAGCGCAGGACGCCUCCCUUCUAGUUCGAGGGCUUUACUACAGCAAGCAUAGCUUAAUCGGUCACCUUCAUCUUUCUAAGAUCCCCAUUCUUCAUCUUUCUAAGAUCCCCAUUCUUAGGGUAAGGAAGAUGGCAAAGCAGCUGUGGAAACCAAGCGAAAAUCAAAAGCGAACCUAGCUUUGUAAGGGUGAAUUUCGGAUUGAUAACAAGUUCUUCCUCAGAUUCAAGGAAAAGAGAGAAAGGCUAACGAACGUGGAUGUGUAAAAGCCUAAAGGGCGGAAGCAGCAAGUAGCUGGGGAAUGGCCAGAUUCCUCUCUGCCCUCUGCUCGGCAACGCAAUUCCCAUGCUCUAACGAGCACCAGCACCCCUCUUUCAAACUCACCUCACUCUCACUCUAGCUCAUUUCCUUCCGGCGUGACAUGGAUGAUCCGCCGACCGAAUCCAUUGCUCACUUCACCACGAUCCAUUAGGUGAAACGGUUGUGCAAAGUGUGUUUUUUUCAUAUAGGCAGCGUGGUUAUAGUACUCUGAUUGUGCCAGCCAUGCAAUUCGUACUUCAUUGGCUGAAUGGCUAUACACUCUCUAAAUGGAGGCUCGAGAAGUGUUUUCUUCAUCAAAUUCCAAUCACUGAAAUGGAGUAAUAGCACGCUACUAUAGCAGAUGCUGUAAGGCUCGCUCCAAUUGUAAACGAAGCACGUAGAAAACGAACUGCGCCAACGCCGGAGAACCAACACAGUUUCUAGAUAAUAUUAGCUUUGGAUCAAUUUGAGACAGCAACCUAGUGUUGUUUAGGAAAGCCUUUUGCACCUCAAAAGAAGUCAAAGAGAGAAUGCCUCACCUAAGUUAGGAUCUAUGUAGGAGGAGGGCGCCUACAGUAAAGGGAUAUGUGGUUACUACCACAACUUUAAUGCGGAAAGGCCUUAGUCUUCGGUCAUAACUUUCGCAUUGGUCAUCCAAUAAAAUCCCUGCCGAAACAGCACCGUCUUUCUUUUUUUAUCCAAUCCCAGCAAAGCUACAACUCGAGAACUUUUCAUUCCCACUUUAGUGUCCUACCAACUACCUAUGGCCUAUUUUUGUUCCACUCUGCUUUACACUCCAAGGGUUCUUUUGGAUCAUAAGCCUAAAAGUUCCAUUCAUGGCCUGGUUUCAGAUUGAAGAGAAUCAUAAGUCAUUAAUUGGAUUAUUCAUAUACGGCUGCCCCUUUCAAGUUAUCCUUAUCUACUGAGGUAUCUGCCCUACACACAUUGGUUGAAGGACGUUCCUUCUUGUUCUCUAUAUCAAAUGAUGGAUCAUUUUGGACUUGUGCGGUUAUUCUGCCUCAACCGACUGGACCACUUUUCUCUCUUGGAUUUGAUAAGAAAGAAGGAAAAACUAACCAUCAAGCAUGCGGGUACAAAGUUGGAUCAAAUGCGGAUUCCUCCACUGUUUCCUUUGCUUGAAAUCUAGCUUCGAUCAGAGUUUGCCUUUGCUGCUGCGGCGUCUUCCUUGGGAUACCCACACCACCUAUGUAGAAUAGAGUUCCUGGAAACGUUCCUUUAAGUAUAAGUGUUUUAAAGACCCGGGCAGAUGCUUACGAGGAGCUAAAGACAUAGCCGGUGGAUAUAGUAAUUCUAAGUCAAGUCAGAUGCUUACGAGGAGCUAAAGACAUAGAUAGCGAGUAUAUCCACAAAUUCCUCAGUCUUUCGCUCUCCAACCGCACACUGGGAUUUGGAAAGAAAACGAACAUAAAGCUCGAGCUAAUAUAAUGGUUUUAGUUGCACGUGGAUUGUAAGUUCGUGGAUUCUCCAAAAUAGAAAUAGACUAUUGCCAACGAAUGAAUUGGAAGAGGGGUACUCGCUACUUGGUUAAGUAAAGUCGCCUAUCCAUUUGUUUAUAGCAACCCCUGCCCGGGACGCAGUAUCACUAUUCUAGGCUACAUCCUAUAACGAAUAAGCUGACUAUUUCCAUCUUUCUUACGAAUAUAAGGGAGCUCGGGAUAGCACAACAAACCGAACCAAGACCUUCUCUGACUGACGGGUACUAUACUCAUCCACACUUUUUCCAUCAUCCGAUCUAGAUGAAGAGAGGUGUCGUUUACCAGUGGCGCAACAUACUAAUAGUCAGAAAGUCGCCAGGAGCCGUAGCUCAAUAGCUCUAUUUAAUAGAAUCCGUUUUCUCAAAACAAAAAGGGCUACUAUACUAGCAUGAGUCAGAAAAGAAGCACAUCGUACGAGCAAGAACCCCGCCUAUAAAUAAAGGUGGUAAGAAUCGUCGCUCCAGUGCCUGGUAUGAUAAAGGUAUAGCAUAUCGAUAUGACCUGUACCCAUUCGAUUUUCGCUUUUCUUCGAAAAAGAUUGUAUGUGCACUACUUCAUGGGUAGAUACUCAAAUACAAGCAAGGGACUAUUUACUUGGUUUUACUUACACUAACUCUCAUGCUAUAAAUGUAUCCAAAAGCCGCAGCUAGUCAAUCAUUCUUGUUUCACGAUCCGCAAAUUCCUCAAUACAAAGGCGUGACUCACCAAACUCCGAAAUAAGUCAAACUAAGUCGGGCAUGCAGAUCCCUUUUGCUACGAUGAACAUUAGUAAAGUUCCUAUUUAUGUGCCUUUAUCACCAAUUCUUAUUCACAAAUAAUGGAUCAAUAGACUUCUUUUCCGUACACUUCGUAGUCUACUCACCAACUCUUUGCCUUUGAUCUGGGACCCUUGAGUGACAUGAUUCUUAGUAGUCUAUGAUUAUUACAGUAGGUACUCUCUAACUAUUACCCAGACCGAGAUAGAGAUGGACGAAGGAUCUCCUAUUAUGCUAAUAGAGCAAUAAACCCCCGGGUACAAGAAUACUAAGCAGACUUUCACUCCGCCUUUCUAGUAGCAAUUAGUAGCAAUUCAGACAACAAACUUCCUCUUAUUAUUUCGCAAAUGCCGCUGAUGCGUAAUACAUUGAGUUGGACAGCUUUCCUUGAGCAGAUAGGACAGAGCGCCAUCAACAGACGCGAAGAAAGCACCUAACUGGGGUUGAACUGAACAGCCUCGAUCCUCAUCUCCUCACAGAAAUACCUUGCCUAGCUCUACUUUAUUAUAGCAGGAACCCAGAGUAAGCCUUUCUCUCGUGGCUUUCGCACGUUGAUCUUUCUAUACGAGCGCUAAAAGGAAAAAGGGAAGCAGUGUGCAUAAGUGAAAGAGUGCAAUUCGUCAUCUGCAAUCGGAAAGUGACCUUCUUGUAUAGGGCGGGCAAGAACUGGUAGAGCAAGUAGUUGUCGUUUCUAAAGUCAGAGGGAAUGCUACUCCGCAGAUUCCACUCGUACACAAGGAGUAGAUGCAAUCUUUCUGUUUCAUCUGUUGCCAGAGGUAUAGCUUAUAGGUAUGGGAGAGUCUAUAUAUCCAACUUGUGCUUACGCGAGCGGAACGGGGCGCUACCACUAAUUGUAGUUGCUGUGCUGGUUGACUUAUUUCUUUAGUGGCUGUAGUUGCUGGUUGACUUAUUUCUUUAGUGGCUUUUAGGCUUGGUUGGUUUCCUCGGGGCUAACGGAGCUCCCUGUGCUCGAAAGAUUAUUGUCCCGUCCUGUUUGCCCUAUAUAGUAUCUCCGCUCGAAAGUCAGAGUAUAAAGAAUUUCAGACAGAAUACUUAGUAGGGUCAGCAGCGAGAUCAGUGAUUGGUUUGCUUUCCCGAGGAGUGGUGGCCAUUUAGAUUGAUGUUUUCCUCCAUCCUCUAUAGCAACUGAUCCUUACUCUGUCUGAUCUUGUAGACUUUCCUUGCACUAUUGAUUCUCUCGUAGACUUAACAAGCACGAGAACUCAAACUUCUAUUUAUGAAUCGACAACACCUGACCUCACUCUACUUGUUGAUUUAUCCGCGAUAGAGGUUAUUGGUGAUUUAUUGGCUUGACGUCUAUGAUAGAGGUGAUUGAUUGUAUCGGUGCUGUAGCUCCUUGUAAUGGGGGAGGCUCUUUACUUGACCUUAGUUGUCGACGAUAGAGGUACUCGUGUGAAGCAUCUAUUUCCUAUGUUGUCUUUACUGAGGUACCCGUGUGAAGCAUCUAUUUCCUAUGUUGUCUUUACUUACGAGAAAGAAAUCAAGAAAGUCAUACUCAUUCAUUACCAAUCCAUAGAAUUAAUGAAUAGGAAAAUCAGAUCAAUUCCAAAUGAGGGUAUAUGUUCCUAACCAGCUCUAGUUCCUGGUAUUACACUAACUCAAUCUCCUUGCUACUGCUCGGGGGGCUGGGGCAAAAAAGAAAGACGCUAAUCCAGAGGCUUCGAACUAUUGAUUGGAAAAAAUAGGAAAGCAUAUGGGGCAAGGCCCUAAUAAGAUAGAUCAUUGCUAGAGAGGGCCAGGAAAGUGGCGAUUAGAAAGAGGUGUUUUUACCUUUGAGACUAUUUGACCGAGGGUUAUCUCCCUGGCAAGUGAAAUGGAUUCGAUUCUCCCCCAAUCAACGAGGUUUUCACGUCCCAAGCACACACAGGUUAUUUUUCUUCUAUCACGUGCACAUUUUCAAAGCAGAUGAAUUUGCUAACAAGCCAAAAGCGAAAGUAGAGGAAAGAGCAAGAGAGCAGUACUCGCAGAGAGAGAAACAAAGACCCAGAUCGCAAAGCACGUAGGAAAGUCAUAGGAGUUCAGAUGCGGUGACAGCAAGAGCCUUAUUGCCCCGCCCCUUACUAACGCCUAGUUUCUUUUCUUUCGUCCUGACCUUUGACUUUGCAUGCUAGGCUUGGCCCGACUCCUUAAUAUAGGGGAGUUGACUUACUUUGUGGGGUAGGCUUUUUGACUGACUUGUUAUGUGUUUUUUCAGUCAUAGUUCCGAAUUCAGUUAGAAGAAGCACACCGCUCGUCACCAACUCAUUCACCUGGUCACCAACUCAUUCACCUCUAAGCCAACUCAUGAACUUAGGGUAGAAGACCGCCUUUUCUUCCAAUAGAAUAGAAAGAAGUAACACUGGAAAAGGGGUAGGAAAAAGGUAUGCUAUGUUGUUGGAUCCGUAGAGCAAGGGGCGAGGUCAACCAUCAGUGAUUUAGCAGUGCCACCUGUCACUUUAAGGGUUCUCUCAUGCACUGUUUCAGGGAGAGGACAUCCGGCAGGACAAUCAGCAAGGGGAGCGGCAAAGUCUUCGAGCAGACAGUCAUCCCUAGAUGUAAAGGUAAGGGAAAGGGAGUGGGAAAUAGAGAAACCUUUAGUGUCCAUUUGAGAAAACACUCCUAUUCUUGUUCUUGUUGACGAACAAAAGAGUGGAUUCCAAGCUGGUUUCCCUACUUAGUGGAUCUAUAGAGAGAUAGAGCACAGGGGUGUUUACUUAUGCAAGGCAAUAAAGUUCGAGGCGGUAAGCAGAGCGGGACAAUGAGUUGAAUCGUCGGGACAAUCAGUGUUGUCAUCUAAGGAAAAAAGAAAUACAAAUAACGCACCUCACAAAGUAAGCUAAGGCGCAACCAACAAGAAAAUCCAAUCAUUGAAACUCGACGUCAUGCUAAGGCGAGUUGACCUGACCGCUCGAAAGAUGGCAUUCAAGCAGGGUGAAGGGAAUUGACUGCCCCAUACUCCACUCCAACCUGCGCCUCAAUUCGAACUUCCAGUAAGCAGGUGCUUAGAUUCGUAUCAGUACCAUUAGUCUCCCCUUUCUUAGUAGCAGCAAAAGCAUCCUAAAAGUAGUCAAUUCCAUUAUGCAAUUCCUAUUACCACUUCCGCGGUAAGUGAGUGGAUUGAGGUCAUAGAGAGGGGGAGUUGCAAGCUAUGAGGUCAUAGAGAGAGGGAGUUGCAAGCUAGUUCAAGUCCAGCAGCAAUCGGGUCUGUUCUGCAAGAGAAGUUAUGCGUCAGGAGAGGUGGGCAAGAAAGAGCACUGGGUUAGACAGAUUCAAUAAGAUAGUUGCCACUAGUAUACGAGGUUGACGAGAUAGAGUGCAAUUCCUACUUGCUGGUCGGUCCAGCUUCCUCACCUGUACUUUCUUAUGUAUCAAUUCUAUCUUUAUUAUGUAGCAAUUCUAUCUCAAGCUUCUGUAUUAAAUGCUUCUGUAUCAAAGCCGGUGCAGUACCAUAUUCUUCCUCAGACAGGCUAGGGACCCUGACUUACUAGGCGAGGCACCCGGAGACUUGAAACCCGAAGUCAGUGAAUUCCUUAGCAACCUGACCUAUGACUUUCAAUCUGCAUGUUAGAUCUGAGGCAAAAGCUAUAUCCUGUCCGAAGCCACUAGGGAGACUUAUCUUCUACAGGAACAGGCCUAGUAGCUGGGAGGAAGUAAACAGAUAUUAGAUAGGGAAGGGCAGAGUUAAGUACCGUGGCAGAGUAAAGUACAGGCGAGUCAAGAAGAAUCAGCUGGGUAUUGCGACUUUAGAGGGAAAAGAGAUUGGUUCGGUGCUAUAGUUCUGUCAACGAGAUCAUCAGCAGCUGUGAGAGUUGAAUACCGAGUGAACCUUUGGAAUUGAAGAAUCUCAUAUAGAAUAGAAGCAGUGUGAGUCAAAGUCUAGGGGCGGGUGCGUGUGUUUCAUCUUUGUUUGUUGGCGAAAGUGCCCUGUCCGUAUUUUAAGGCUUGAAGACCAGAGUUUCAUUCUGACUUUAGUAGAAGAAAUGAGUCAACUCUCUUCCACCGCUCCUGCAACUAAGUGUUUCUCCCUUGUAUUUCAUUCCAUAGUAAGAGCUUCGGCCUUUCCCUUUGAAGUAAUAUUCCUCUCUUAUAUACUUUAGCUCUAAAGAUUCCGAUUCCAUUAACCAAGAGUUCUGAACCAGGGAAUUCGAGAAUAGAUCCCCGGCAUAUGAGCCUGUUACUACUGUCUCUCUGCUCGACACCCUUGAUAUCAAACUAGCGCUACUGACUUGAAGUCUUUUACUACCUUUUAUCACUCUCCAGCUAAUGCUUCUCAUACUUUCACUGCUGAGCCCCAAGCUGCCCUCUUGACACAACAAUUAUGUAUUUAUAGCUUUAGUAUGCCUCUACUUGCUUGAAAGCCGAUACCAAUACCGAGAAGACCGUUCCUCAUAACCGGGAAUUCGACUCGAAACUGAGCAAUUGCACUCGGGAAUCUCACUUCAACUAUCAACUCUGGGAAUAGAGAAUACGGGUAUGAUACAACGCAUACAGCUAUGAAUAAGGUGCUGAAAGCCUACUAACAAUAAGAGUGGAACCAAUGCCAAUAGGAACUAAUAAUAGGAAUAACCCUAAGUAGUAAGGCUCAGUGAACUCAACUAGCAAGAGCAAGACCGAAACCCACUGACAGCAAGACGGACUCUUGACUUUAUAGAGCCCGCUCCUCGGUUAAAGUAGUCUAAACUCCAUUCUAUUGGCCUGUAACUACUGUAUCUAAUUCUUCAUCUACUGAAACAAAACCUUACUCACUAGCUUUAUCCUUACCCUCGUGCCCAGCGACUCCUUUAUCUCACCCUGUUGCGCCUUCCUUUCAUUUUCCUACCAGUACUUAUUUGGGUCUACCGCCAGUACUUAUUUGGGUCUACCGUUCCUGUCCUCAAUUCUGACUAAUACCAAUCCGAGUCUACUGACCCUGACCUUAAAGCAGUGUAUAGAAUAUCGGUUGACUCUCUUAUCUACUCGGGCAAUAAAGAGUUCUCUCCUGGGGCACUAAAGAUCCAAUUCAUUCUUUCUCAUCUGUAUGCUGGAUCAGAAUCUCAAGUAUGGAUACAGGUAAGGUCCGAUUACUCCUUUAUAUACCAGCUAGGGCUCGAAAGAAGGAUUCCAGUGCUGUUGACUCGGCAACUUACAAUAAAUACUCUGUGCUCUCACUGAUGAAACUACGAGUCCUGUGUUCGGAAACUCCAAAGUGAGAAUGAAAGGUGGAAUUGAGUCUACCCGCUCCUACCGCGCAACAAACUACUAAGCUUGGCCCAAGGAUCAAAGUCUUACAAUAGGAUCGGGCAGGAACCCAGUCCAAACGAAGAGAGCUAGGGUUUGUUUUUCAUUAAGAAUGAGAAUAUUCUUAAGAGAUCGUUCCUUACGUUUAGCAAUCAAUUAGAUCCCGACUGACAACGCUUGAAGCAUGGCUUGCCGUUUCAGGGGCUCGAUGCUUCUUUCUAUUCAUUCUUCGUAGCUUUCUUUUUCAUGUUAUUUGAUCAGGAAUGGGACUGAGAGAGCUAGCCCGGAUUCUGUCUUCAUUGACCUAGUAGCUGGACAAAGACCCAAGGACGGGGGCCAAUCAAUCUCAUCCGGAUCCCUAUUGGUGAGAAGACGGACUUUUCUCCCAUAAAGUGAUCAAGGAGCGUCAAAUAUUCUGAUACUAGGGUAAUAAGGAGCUCGCUCUUUCACUUGCAUAGUGAGGAUGCCCAUAAUCGGCUUUUGCUCUUUUCGAUUUCAAAGGAACCGCCAAGCUACGUAGUCCGGUCCGUCAAUGAAAGCCUUUAAUCCGCGGAAAGUAUAGGAUAUCUACAUACGCAGUGGAAAGUUAGAAACAUAAUAGGCAAGAUUGGAAUGCAAGAUAUUCCACUUAAGUAUCCUGACCUUCAGGUGAUCGAUCAUCGGAACGAUGACACUGAGCGAGAAAACCAAUCCUUAGGGAAACCUCGCUUUCUCUAACUAACUUAUUUCAUAACUUGGAAAGAGGUGCAGCAAUCAUUCGAAAGUUCGGAUGGAUGGAGCCAACGCCUUUCACUAAUAUACAGAAGUCACAUGGUUUCUCUACAAUGAGCAGGCAAUAACAUUUGAGAGCUAAGCCCCCACUUGUUAAGAUAUGCACGGGCCUGAAGCUGCUAAAGCGACUGCCAAUUCAAAGAAGAAAGAAGCUACACCGGCUUCUAUUAUAGAGGCCCGAACUCAGCUAGCCGUGCCCACUAUAUUAAUAAAGGUGGGGAGUUCUGCCUUUCUUUUGAUGUAGGCUUCCACACAUUGUAUAGUUCCACUCUCAUGCUUUCUUUUGAUGUAGGCUUCCACACGUUGUAUAGUUCCACUCUCAUGCUUUCUUCUCCUGAGAGUCUUCCUUGCCCUUCUUUCUUUGAGUGUAGCGUGUCGGUCUUUGCUAUUUCGGUCUCCCUCCUUUAGCCAAGAGACUCUGGCCUUCUGCUUAAAGUUCCACUCUUCUGUAUCUGGUUCAACUCAUCCAAUUUUAGAAUAGACUCUUAUGCUCUGCGAGCCUUUCAUUGAACUGGAAAAAGGAUAGGAUAGCUGGGAUUGGUCUAGUUCUUCUAUGUGCCUCUUUCUUUUUCUUUCUUUUAUCGACCCGUAACUUGGAAUCUUUCUUUUAUCGACCCGUAACUUGGAAAUGAAAGGAUUUGACGCUGCUUUGAAAAAUGGAAGCUUCUGGGCUACCUGGAACAUGGGGUUCGUUCCCUUUAAAGGUUGCCAGGCCUCUUGCACUGUUUUCUGAAACGAAAGAAGCCUCGUCCACAACAUGUUAAUAAUCAACAGGGUUUCGGGCUCGGCUCCUUUCAACAACAAGGCUGAGGUAAACAAUGAUAGGGGAGUUCAACCAUUAAGGAUAUUGUAAGCACUGAUUCACCCUCGGAGAACAAGAGCGGAACUGGCUAGAAUCCUUAUAGUUCGAUCCACAUUCCAUAGCUUCUGAUCUAGCUCCCGCACCUUUAGAAGUUGUAAAGCCACGCACUAGCUGACUUCCCCUAUUAGAUUGACCCCGCUGGCGAUCACAGAAGAUUCUUCCCUAUCAUUCCAUCGCUUCAUGCCUUCGACUGAGACCUAUCUGCUUAAUUCCCGAGUUGAACUUCACUUGGACACAGCCGACCAAAGGGGAGAGGGCAAGACUGCUUUUGCUUGAAAUGAAAGUCAAGUUUACUUUAUUGCGUACUUCUUUCCAUCCUGAGAAGGCUUUCAGCACCUUUGCUUUGGAAAGUUCCUAGAAACCAUUCUUAAUACGCUUAUUCUCUGACCGGCAUACCAUGCUACAUGAGUUCCAACCGGAUCUUUAUAACUAAGAGAAGAUUCGCUGCAAGGAGCUUAUUUACUGUUUCAUGCCCUACUGACUGAAUGGCUUUCCCUACCUCUUCCGGGCUUUAUUGCCAAAAGUGAUUAUAGCUUGAAUUGGAACCCACAACAAUCCGAAUCAAAUCCAGAUGCCAAUCCAAUGAGUUCGAGUUCCCGCAGCUGGAAGUAAAGCUAGCAGCGUAGUCGCCGACAUAGAAAGAGAAGACCUGAUCUUGGACUUGCAAGCUAUCUCGAGGGAAUCACUUGGAGCACAAGCUUUCGAGAAAGGUGAGAUACAAUCCAGAGAGUUCGAUCUCUGUAGUAAAGUCUAAGACAGUUUAUUCGGUAUCUAAGAAAACGAUUCUAGAAAGCGCUAGGCAUGCAUCUCAAGUCAUUCAAUGCUUCGCUUAAGGCAAUUUCCGUAAUAAUAGGAUGUAAGUUCCAGGUGAACCAUCUUAGACUAGCUAAUAAAGGAGAAUUUGUUCUAACACCUUUUUGAUUACGUAAAAGAAUGGAGCAAACGAACUCCUGACUCGACGCCUUGAGGUUUGGAUUGCUGCAGGUCUAAUAGUCGACGAAAGGAAAAAAGGAAAAGAGUUAUACGCGAAUUGCUACACCUUUAAGCCAAUUGAAUUAGUAAUCGAUGCUAGAAAGGCGAGAAUCCCUAGCCGGUGUUAUAGAAUUCCAUAGAGAAGAGAGACUAAGCCUGCUGUUAAUGAAUUGGACUGGACUCCUAAGAUAAUAUCCGGAACUGUUAAUGAAUUGGAUUCCUAAGAUAAUAUCCGGAACUCCAGGUUGAGUCAACAAUAAUUGUAAGUAGAGACUCUAGAUUCUAUAGACGGGCAUUCCUUUCGAUCUUGUAUCUAGAAGUUGAGGCUUGCAGCGCUCGCAAACACUAUCCCUUAGUAGAAAGCAUUGAAUGAAAGGUGGGAUGCCUUAGCUUUCAUGGAGAGGGUCGGGUCGUAGAAUCCCGGGGUUGAACUCCUACCUUAGAGUUACUGCACCGGGGGGCCUUAAAACCACCUUUUGGGGUAUUGGCGCAAUGACUGAAUUCUGCUAUUCUUUGUUACGAUAGCAGGGUUUGGUAUCCACUAGUUUCUAAGGGCCGCAUUUAGGAGUGAUUGAUCUGUUCAUCAAACUCUCAAUUGCAAAAAAGCAACAAAGUAGGAAGUCUGGUUCACAAGGUUAUACCACAGAAGGGCCCACUCAUAAGUUGCCUUUCCCCCAUUUCCAAAAGUGGUACAAGAGACAGGAUCAAAGGCUUUUCGAAAUUGGGAUUUGGUCUGUGUCAGUAGGUCUGAUGGAUGCGCCGUUUCGCGUCUAGUAGUGAUUUUGGUUGCUGAAGCCCCAGCCGAUCCUGUCGUGCCUUAAAGCUGGAAAGAAGAUGGAAAUUGAUGGUCCCCCCGGGUUAUGGAUCUGGCAAAAUAGGAAGUGCAAAAUCGCGAAACAAUGCUACAACUACAUCCUUCAUUCCUAUUGAAAGAGAAACUCAUCCAUGGAAACAGGUGAUUCAUGUUCAAGAGAGCUGCUUUGUAGGGAAAUAGACUAAUGUGACAUUGAAUCCUGUUACUUCUAUUUUCCUUCAUUGAGACCGAAACGGAGAAAUUCCAUAAAAAAGGAUGCAUUAGAAGGAGUGGUUUCUCUAUCCCCGCUAAUGCUUUCUAGUUCCCCCGGUUACCUCUACCAAAAUGGAUUCUAGCAAAGCGGUUAUUUACCCCAUUUGGAUGGAUUUGGAUGGAGAAAUACUCACUAUUGAACUGGGGCGAGCCCCUGCUACUUGUAAUCGAGGUUGAAUCUCUAUUCCCCCAAUAUGGAAAAAUGAAUAUUCUCGAAAUAUAAGAGUUUUCCUAAACUAAUUGCGUUUCUAUCUAUAUGAACGGAGGAUGAUGAAUCUAUUUCGUGGGUCCUGGCAACACCCUUAUGCUAUAUAUAGAUUCGUGGGUCCUGGCAACACCCUUAUGCUAUAUAUAGACCCUUUGUCCUAAUUUGAUCUUUAAGUCGAUUCGGAAUGAACAUAUAUUGUGGAUCGAAUGUUGCUAUCUUUACGAAAAUGUGUUAAGGUCCCUUAAAAGAAAAGGAAUAGCUGCUCAUUCAAUGAACGACGCCUAAAAUGAAUGUAUAUAUUUGAUUCCUUAGCUUGGCUCUCAUUUCAGGAACGGAGGCUGAACGGGCUGAGGCUUCCGGUGUCCAUAAGGCUAACGUAGAAUCCAAUAAUCUAAUCAUAUAUUAAUCGAUUUCAUAUAUAUCAUAUUACUUGCUAUAACUAGGAGUAUAUUCGAAGGUAAGUAACAAGGGCCAAGUAGUUAAGGCUAAAGCCAAUUUCAGAGAGGCGAGAACCCUUAAAGGUCUGUUUCAAUACUCAAGAUAGCUGGUUGUGAUUCCUUAGAAUAAGGGUAGCUAAUCACAAACAAGGUAAGAAAAAAGUGAGAAAGGCGAGCAAUAGGACGGAAACAAAAGAAAGAGGCGGCGAGCUACUCCAGAACGAGCGACCUGUAAGCUAAUAGACCGUUAGGAGGAAAACCGACCUGGUGAUAAAGAAUGGGAGCUAAGUAUUUAUUACGAACGGAUGAAAAAGGAGGUGCUGAAAGCCUGUGAAAAUCCAGAACCAAAAAAGAGUGGAGUCCCGUGCCGGAUAUUCGAUGGCUCUCUAUCGAACCUUCCUUUGUCACGAGUCAUUGACUGCUGUAACGUGCCUUGGCCAUCGAGCUACUCAAGGUAAGACUUCCAAAAAGAUGAUAAUAAGCAACAUGCUAAAUAGCAUUGUUUCUAUCGUUGGCAUGUAGUUUUGGAUAUAUAAGAUAAUGGGAAGAAAAGUGACCUACUUGAAGAUAAUGGGAAGAAAAGUGACCUACUUAUAGCCUUAUCCAUAUUACUUAGACUUUGAUGGCUGACGGUAAGCAGAGUUUUGAUUGACCAUACUAUCAUAAAGGCAAUUAGGUAAGCCUACGCCCACUCCAUCCCUAUUGUUGUGUUUUAUUCCAAUGGGAUUUGGGGCACGGAUUCAACAAGUACACCACAAAAGCAACGGCUUCGGCCCAAAAGUAGCAUGUUUAUACCUUUCAACAUACUAUGUGCCACAUGUUUAUACCUUUCAACAUACUAUGUGCCAUUUAAAGGAUUGUGCGUUUCUUUCUUUCGGCAAAACACCAGUUGAGGUUCAUAUGGUGCGGUCAAAGGACGACGAAUACCAUGCUUUUGACAAAUAGCUUCGAAGGCUUUUGUUGAUGUAAAUGCGCCUCCACCUAUUCCCUACAAAGCCGGUUCCAAUCAAACUGCAUACAGAACAAUGAUGGAAGAAAGAGAUAGGACUCGAAAGAGAGGAGAGGUAAGUAUACAGGAAGAGAUGUCCUUUUACCUCUAUUGGAUUUGCGCCUCGUUUGCUAUCAAUCUGUUCAGAUACAAAACCAAGUGGAAGCCCCAUUGCGAAAACUAUUGACGAGGCAGACGGAUAAAUGGCUCUUGCCCUAUUUUAGCUAGGACUUGCCUCAAAAUGUCUUGGCCAAAUAGUGGUCGGCUAGUGCGGGCCCAGGCAUACUUCCUGAGAUUGCUGCACGAACUCUUCACGAUCCUGCUGAAGAUGCUUACUCUUAUUCCAUAAUUACCAAGAAUUGAUAUAUAAGGAAAAGAGCUCGAUGACCUUAAUCACUCUGUUAGCGCAGAUCAAUCCUAUGAUGAAAUAAUGAGAAAUGUCUAUUCAAGGGCAAAAGCUUUUUCUCUUUAGACUACCGAUUCUAUUGAAUGAAACGGAGUCUGGGCCCGAUCAUGCUUAAACGAAUUCUUAAAGAGAAAGAGGAGGCACCUGAACAAGACUGGAAUCUUGAACAUUGAUGAUUCUGAACCGCCCUAAUAAGAAGUUGUAAACUCACCAAACUAAAGCUAAGCUAACGCCGAUGAAGGAUAGGCUUUCGCUCCCUAUGAUAGAAGCGGGUAACUCACCCAAUAAGAUAGGAGCAGGUAACUCAUAUACGUUACUUGCCUGCCGAAAACCGGAAUUGUAAUAGAAUAGGAGUCGGAGUUAUAGUUUCCAGAGGUAUGUAUAGGAGCCGAGCUUUUUGAGUAUACGCUUGGAUGGUGUUCAUGGCGGUAGGGCUGCUCUUCCACACCUCUUAUGGGAAAUUCCCUAUCUUGCAUCUGUAACCGCUGUUCUAAUGCUUUUAAGCCUAUAAUCUUUACCUUCUUUCGACACUCAACCAAGAAUCAUAUACUGUUCUUUCAAGCGCGGAGUAAAUACGGAAUUUCUUAUAGUGCGCAGAGGAAACUCAAAGAUCCAAUUAUGAACUGAUUGGUGCUCUAUAACCAAGGAAUGCUCCUACACCUAGAAACUACACUUCGAUUCAGCUUCCAUAUAGGAGAAAAGUCAAGAGAAGAGUCAAAGUAAAGAUCAAAGUAAAGAGAUGCUUCAUCACAACACCGAGAUCCUUGCUAAUUACCUGUUUGUUUUCUAGAAAAUGAAAGAAACUGCUUCCCUUUAUUUGGAAUCUGACCGGCUUGGCACUGCUUCCUCAGCUUCUUCUAUCUCUUAAGAUCUUAUAGAUUCCACCCGAACUCCACCCUCUUAUUAACCAGAUCCCGCUUAUGAUCGAGUAGACUUAUUAACUCGAACUGUAGUUGCUUGUUGGACAAUUAGUUUACCUUGAUUAUGGCGCAUAGGUGUUAUCGACCCCAACUCUACUACCCUUAACUUCACAUAAAGGUUGCCUUAUUGCCCUGAUUUUAUAGCCCAACUCAAUAAAUAAGAGCAGUAAACUCAUCUUUCGAGUAGCGGGGAACUCCUAUUAUGGCUAAUUUCCAUACCCUAUGAAACCGAGCUCCUUUACGCCUUUGCAUUCUAUUCUGCUCUUCCAUUCUCUAUUUAUCCUGCUUACCGCUGACUUUGACACAGCUACCGAUGAUUCUCUCGGAGACUACUUGAGAACAGGAACAGGCAAUUAAGAACUUGAGAGCGCAGAGUAUAUACGGAAUUGAUUAUAGUGCGCAGAGGAAACUCCAUUCUUUCAUUCUAUUCCCAAAACUCCAUUCUGAGUAUUAGUAUGCACCACAGGCGAGGGAAUCCUUAUUUAUAGUGUCAUUCUGUAUUGACUUAUUCUUAUACUUAAUACCAAUACAGUGCUAGAUCGUACCCAUAAAUCAGGACUUGUACAUAACUCGUACUAAUGGAAUUUUCCCUGCAAAGUGGUUAGUGGACUUUACUGAACACUCCUGUUACACUUGUAUAGUAUACGCUUGGUCUGUAGUAUACGCUUGGCCAGGUGCGCCUCAGACUGCAAAUGCUUCUUCGUAUGCUCAGAGGAUAGAUGGGCUGGCUCACUAUGGAAAGUGCCAACUCUCUUUACUGCUCUUCACUAAGCUUUUUGGAAAGUCAAAACCAGGAUAGGAAAAGCUUGCUCUUUUUGGAAAGUCAAAACAAGGAUGGGAUUGCUACAGCUUUCGCACUGUAUUAAAUACACUCUUUUUCCAUCUAUUUGUAGAAGGUCUCAAAGAAAGGAGAUGAAAAGACACCUCUCUAUUCUAUAGGUUUUGCACUCUAUGAUAUUCUGAAGCGAAAGAAGGAAGAAGGAAGAAAUCACCAAAUGAACUAGCGCCCCAACUGACUCAAGAACUCAUUCGUCCUUGAGAAAACCCCUUUCUUUGCUGAAGUUAUGGUUCCUUCUUCGAAGUAUUCCUGACUAAACAAGCAAAGGAAUAGCGUAAAUCAGAAGAAAAGUAUUUGAAACGGAACAAGUAACGGAACAAGCAACGGCGCUUACCAUGAGUUUGAUUAAGGAUCGAGGUGCGUUAGUGAGUCUGGAAGGAAAGAAAUCCAGAAAUGCUGUGCUUACUUACUAGCUUAUAUCAGAUGUAAACAAACGCUCUCUGCUUUUUGCACUCAAUGAAACAAGCAACGGCCUCAGGGAACUCGUAUACAAUGAAGGUACACUGCGCUUCAACGCCUGUACUCUUAUACUUAGCUUCUUUUCUUUCCCGCAACCAUUGAAAAGAGGCAAGGUGCUGAAAGCCUACUCGAAGUUUGCUUACUUUAUUUUCCCUUGCUUGUUCUGUCUCUGUCCGGCAAGUGCAACGCCUCUGUCCUUAUGAGCUACCGUUCGUACGCUGUCCUUGGCCAACAUAUGAUAGGUAGCUGUUGAGUGAUGUAGAUUCUAUAUUAUAGGAGGUGCACUAAAUGGAAUUCCUCAGGGGGCACUAUCGUCUUGCUUGUUGAGUAAGGAGUCAAGAGUUCCGGAGAUCUAUACAUAUAAUGUAAUAGUUCUGUACUAAGCGCUAAACAAAUAUGGUUGCAGUGAUAUUACUUGAUUCUAUAUAGGUAUAGCUUUGAUUCUAUAUAGGUAUAGCUCUCUUCAAUUCCAUUCUGUUCAGUCACUCUACCCAAUAAUUCCAAUUAUCGACAACACAUAUAAUCUAAUUGAAUAGAAUAUUACCCGCUAGAAUAUACUUGAAGAAUAUUACCCCGCUCCUUAGACUCUACAUUAUCUACUCAUUUCUACUCAACUUAAGAAUAUAAGUGACAUCUUUCUAAAUAGAUAUAAGUAAACUCUAUCAAAUUCAUAUAAUAAGUGGUGUAGUGCACAUAUUUGGAGAAAUAGAUAUUUUAGGCGCAGGAGAAAGUCAUGCUGUCUUUAGGAUAGGAAGGAAGGUGGACUUUUUGACCAAAACGAACUUGUGUAUUCAAUUUGGCUGCUGAAGACAAGCGAGAACCACUCUUUCUUUUCGAUGAGUCCUAGCCCUCCCACGGAGAAAGCAACCCCCUUGUACUUACUUCGCGACUUUGGCAAUCCAUCCGCUUUAACUACAUAGAAUAAGGAAAUAGUAGAGUUGGCGGCAGGAUGAGUUCCAAUAAGGAAGUUGUUUCAGAGGAAGCGCGAGCUUGGACCUUCGCCUUCUAACUUUCUCUCACAUGGGUAAAGAAAGCAAGUCGAUCCACACAGCAUCAUGCUUUUUGAAGAAAGAGUUAUAGGCAGUCCUAUUUCAAAGUCAUUGAAGGUAAAAAGAUCAUCAAUUCCUCUAAUUCAAUAGACUAAGAGGUCCGCCAUAGAUCCUUACGCCUCAAGUGAUCGUCAAGAAAAUGAUCUACAAGAAGGUCCCUUACUAAUAACCUCUGCAUCAUCACUAAUAACCUCUGCAUCAUCACUAAAUACCUCUGCAUCAUAGAAUUCGAAGAAAGAGAGAGUGAGACCAGACAUAAGUACAGAAGAGCAGUAAAUAGCAUACAGGGGCAAUAUCGGGAAAUGGCAUACUGGGUUCCCUUUCGCUAUCGCUCCUCGCAACAUAAGGAUCAAUUGUGCAGGAACUAAGGAAUGUGCCUAAAGCUCAUCUCACGGAUCAAGAUUCAAAAGCUUAAUGAAGUUGCACUCGGAUGGAUCGUUUUUAGCAUAUACCCUAAUGAACUUUACAGAGUCGUUCUAUUUUCUCUUUUCCCACCAUUGGCUUCUUUAAAAGAGCUUUGCCUUACCUAUGAUGCCAAAAGCAAAGACAAAUAUGGAAUUGACAAUCAAAAACAGAACAAUCUUACUAUUCUAUAAUUGUGGUAUAUUUCUUUCUUUAUACUAUGGUAUAGUUUCUUUCUUUAUACUAUUCUCUAAUUAGUACAUUUCUGUCUUUCUUUAAGAAUGAAUUGUACCCCAAUCUUACCUAUAAGCGGAGAAUAGGGUUUUUGCAAAGAGCUUUCUUUGUUGUGGAGAAUUGGAAUAGUCGGAAGUACCUAUUAGAAAGUCAUACUAUUUGAAUCAUUCGAGCGAGUGAGUGAAAAAACGGAUUCUUUAAAUGCAGCCUCCCAUUGCUAUCAUUCUGUUUCCGGAAGAAUACAGGCAUUACGAUAACUCUGAAAUAUUUGGCUUUGUAUUUGACCCUGCCCCCUUCUUUGUCUUUUCUCUUUCUAUAGAUCCCUAUGGAUGCUUGUAACUUGAUUCUUGGCAACGAAGGCAGCUUUGGUGCGUCCCACGAUUGAUUACUGGCGAUUGAUUACUGGGUCACCUAACUCCAAGUCAAUGAACUCUAGCUAACGAAAGGACCUACUCUUCUAAAGCGAAAAAGGGCACUCGCGGUAAUUCGCCGCUGCGUGUGUCGUGAGAUGUAUUGGGCGGACCUUGAAUUGGGUAGAAAGUCCAUUUUUCCCUUCCCGUUACGUCAAUUUACAUCGUCAUUGGCACAUUGGGUUUAACUGAUAGCUGAUAGAGCGCGUAGCCCUUCGCUGCGGAUAGUGUUUCAGUUGGCUUCAUCGACGUUGCUGCUUGCCCGAAGCUGGACUUACUCAGGUAAGGAAGGAAGGAAUAAGGGCGGGUUACGAGCGGACUAGCAUUGCAGGCCUUUAAGCAGGAGAGGGAAGGGAGUAUAGCGAUCAAAACGAGAGUAAUCCGGGCAUACCUACCGCAUCUCAUUAGUGCUUGCAAAUAUCAAUCAAAGGGCUCGUCAACAUUCCUAGGAUUGAUUGGCUGAGCUAAUAAGUAAACGGAAAGUAGAUCUGUUGUGCGAAGAGUGCAGCGAGGUAUGCACGUCUGGCAAUGUUCGGCAUUGUCCUAGGCGCGGUCACACGGCUUCAGCCCGGGGAUAAUAAUGGAAAAUGAACGAAACUUUGGACGAAAGUCAGAAAUGUACGCUACUAGACGUUAUUUCGUGCUUCUAUCGAGGCGCGGCCGUUAGGAGACCCUAUUCCUUAGUUGGUCAAUAGAACAUAGAGUGUUACUUACUCCAACAAAAAAAGAGCUGGGCUCAACAGCCUUAACAAAUUCUUCUUCUUGGGUUUCCCUAGCCUGUCAAGCAAUACUAAGACCAGAGCCAGAUAUCACGACGAAAAGUGCAAUCUCUGAUCCGACCCCUCGUCGAAAGAGUAGGUGUCAGAGGCACAAUGAACAGCAUAAGUAAAAGCCCCUAGUCGAAAGAGUAGGUGUCUCAGAGGCAUUAUGAGAACAGGCUAUGUGUGCACAAAGGAAGAAAUCCGUGUUUUUUGGUUAUUGCGUGGAAAGGGGCCAAGCUACUGCUACAAACGGCCAAGCAACGACUAGACAAGUUGGCGGAUCACUUAAUAUAGGAGAACGGAUGAAACAAGCACUCGAACACAACUUUCUGAAUCAACUUCACUUGCUAGCUCAGCUCCUGCCGCUACACAUUAGUGGUUACUUGACUGACCUGGCACCGAGGAAACUACUUUGUUUGAUUUUAAGAAACCCAGGAGUGGAAAUUGAGACUACUUUAUGGAGCAUGCCCGUAAUGUUGAAAUUCUGAAUUGUUUACAGUUGCCAUAGGUAUUGUAGCCUGAGUUGGGUCUAUCAUGGAUGUGGGUCUAUCGAAUCAAUCUAUUAGUGGUCGGGGUGCCUAUUGCCUAUAAAGGGGUGCCUAUUGCCUAUCAUGUGUUUAGUAAAGAAUGCAGGAUAAAGGUAAUAAUCUUACUUUUAGGCGCUAAGUCAAUCAGUGUCAGAGCGGAGCAGAGAGAGUAUAUAGAAUCAGAGACAAACCCUUCCUUAGAUAUAGUAGUUCCGGUGUUAUUCUUUUGUUUUCUACCUUCCCCCGCUGUUUGAUUCUAACUUGAGAGCUCAGCAAGUAGUUCAGUAUAACUCGCUGCCGCUUUGAGGCGAGGUCUAGGUCGACUUCAGAUUAGUCUCUUUCCGUUCUAGUGUAAUCUACAGUGAAAGUGGAAUCCGUUAGUCGACUAUCAGAGCUUAUUAGGUCUAAGCAUACUACUUACUUACCAGAGGAUUUCUUAUUGUUGCUCUCUCUACUCAGGAUGCUUUAUCUUUCCUUUAUUUGAAGAAGCUGGUUCCGGUUCCUUACCGAGAAAGUGAUAAUAUAAGUAGUGAGAAGAAAGUCAAGUACGAUAGAUAGAUGGAUAGUAGUGAUAAGAUAGAUAGAUAGUAGUGAUAAGGUGGAUAGAUAUUAGUGAUAAGGUGAAGCUCCAAGAACGUCUUAGUGGAUAGAUAGAUAGAUAGUUAGCAGCUUAAGGCAGCUGAAGGAUCAACUUCUAUCUCUAUCUAUUGUUUUGGUUGAGCCAUAAGUCAGGUAAGAAGUAAUGAAUUCUAUCUCUAUCUAUUGUGGAAGUAAUGAAUUCUAUCCAUAUCUCUUGUUUUGGUUGAGCCAUAAGUCAGAAGUAAUGAAUUCUAUUGCCCCAGUUAAUGAAAGUGGAAAGAGAUUCGAUUCAUAGGAAAGCUGGGAUUUGGAGUAGUAGCUCUGUUCGAUAGUGGUUCCCGCUCUUCUAAGCUCGCCGUUUGGACUCACGUUCCAGUUGUGACAUCAACAAGUGGUUUGGCAAGGGCCGCCCAACACAGACAAAGGACGCAGGGCCGCUUCCUAUAACAAUUCCUUCAAGUUAUAAACAAGUCCUUUGUUCGGCAACUAGGAAUACAGGAUGCCGUUCUGGGUGCUAUAAGACAUCUAGUAGUGGAUAUAAGAAUGGAAAUGGUAGAUAUAAUAAUGGAACUCCCACAGGUCAGUUAGCCUUAAAUAAAUGAGAGUAAAAGCCCUAAAAAGAGGAAAGAUAGGUUUCAAGCAUAGAUAAGGAAUAAGUGCCCGAGUAGUGAGAGUUGUAGUCGAGCUUUGAGAAGAGGCAAUAAGGCUUGGAAAUACCAGUUCCAAUCUUAUUGUUAGUGAUCCCUUUCCUUUCCUUUAUUGUUAUCAGUAGAGUAGUUCGGUUCUCCCGUAUGUGCUGGAUCAUACCUAAGAAUGCAAUUCGAUAUUGUAAGGUCAAGCAUGAAAAGCAUUAAGCGCCAGUUUGAAGGUAAGGAAGCGCCAGGACGAGAGAAGAUAUAGUCAGACUUAUAACUUAGAGGGCUAAGGCAACCUAUAAUACGGUAAAGUCCGCCUGAGAUCAAGUAAUGACAGACUCCCUUUUGCUUUGAGCUAAGAAAAAGUCAUGUUAGCACUCACCGUUAGCACUCAUCUAAGAAGCAAAGAAGCAGGUCCGGGAAUGGAAGCAAGGAGCCUAAAUCCUUAUAGAGGCAAUACAAACUUAGAGCAGGGAGUUUUAGGUUGAGUCAACAGAUGCAGAUUUUCUCUAAGAGUUCAAGCGGAGAUAGUCAGAUGUGAGGUCAGUAGCGCGAGGCUAAGAGAUAUGGGAAAGAGAGAUCCGGUGCUCAAGAAUGUAGGCUGGGUGACUACUCCAGUUAAUUAUGAUAGGCACUGGGUUCGUUCUCAUAGUAGUGCUUGGUGGUUUAAAGCAAGGUGCUGAAAGUCACUUAUUAGUAACAAACAGGAUGGAUGUACUAACAAACAGGAGUAGAAAUCAAUUCAUCAAUGCCCUUAAAAGAAGAAUGCAGGGUGAAAGGUAUAGGUUUGAUGAACUACUACAGGGAAUAGGGCAGGGAAUGCCUGUUCGGAGCUACUAGUAUAAGUUUGAUAUCAUAAUCAUGAAUAUAAGCUAAUAGAAUAGGGAAUCGUAAACACAGAAAGAAUCAAGUUCGUAAGUAGAUAAAGAAUAUAAGUAAGGGUAAUAAGCCUGUUUGUGGCACUAGUCAUGUUUGCAGUUAUUUUGUUCUUCAUCGCAACUAUGAUAUUGUAGUUCCACCAAGUAAAUCACUCCUAUAGUUGUAAGUUUGCAAGUAUAGAGGGGCAGGCUAACAGGUGAACAUAUGAUUUCAGAGGAGAAUUUGAUACAGGAGUUUUUUGUUUGAAUCCGGAAUGCAGCUAAACGAGUUUCAGCUUUCACUAAUACUUAAUCAGAAUGUCACUGGGGCAUAGUAAAGUAAGGAACAGGUACAGAAGCAGGUGGGCAAGAGAUAAGGCUCUUACUACAAAGCUCGAUUCUUAAAUAGCUUUCUUUGAUUCUAACCUAGUGGGCGGGUCAGUUGAGUUCCGACCAAUGUCUUUUAUUCCAACUUACUACCCUAAGUUAUAACCUAUGUCUUUUAUUCCAACUUGCCUACUCUACUCGGCACUCGAAGACUCAUUGUUUUAGAACUCUUGGGUUAAAGCCUAUAGCUGAUAAGUCAUAAUACGGAUAUGAUCCAACACACCCACUAGUCAUAAUACGGGUAUGAUCUAGCACACCGGGUAAUUCCACUCAUAAGUCACAGAACUCUAUCUAGUAGUCACAGAAGAGCAUGGGAACUCGAACCACGAACCGGUAAAUACAUAAUGGAAUUAAUGUAACAUAAGUAUAAGCCUAGAGGCAGGGCAGGCUAACAGGUGAAAUACGUAAUACAAGCAAGGGAUAACAGCCCUUUAGUUAGUAGUGGGGGAAGAGGUAAGCUAAGGGAGUAGACUUGGUCUGAUAGUUCAUUAUGAUUAGUCUUGAUUUCCAUCUUUCUUUUGCUAGCUUAGUUCUAUAGUUCAUAGUGGAUUUCCCAGUUACCCUGUUGGCAUUGGUUCCAUCCUUUGUAUUAGUAGUUCGAGUCUGUUUAUCAACAGUUUUGAGUUUCAAAGCGAGUAAAGCAAUAGAAAGGAAAGGAAGACUAAUGGAUACUAUUGAGUGAAAUGACCCUACUAUUGAGUUUCGCCCUGUGACUUAUGUGCUUGAUUAUUACUUUCGAGCUCCGUCCUUCACUGGUUCCCACGCAACCCUAUAAAGGUAUCCUUACCUGGAAGCUUUUGAACUUAUCAGUAUUACUGGACCUUCAAUCAGAAUUGAACAAGCGCUAACAAGGCUGAAGUUGAAUACCUAGAUGCGCUAGAUCUUAACCCUAAUGUCAUAUUCUUAUUUUCCGGGUUCGGUUCUUCUACUUAUGAGUUUGGUUCUAUUUCCUGAUUAAUAGACUUCUACCCUAGAGAAGGACUGACUUUCAUUACGCUGACUUGCCAUUACUAAUCGUUUUUACUUAAUGUAACUCUGCUGGACCUUUGCUUGUACUAGGACGGAAUGGAACUGGGUAGACCAAGUCUGGAUAAGCUCACACAGAGACUUAGCCCAGGGGGACUCAAUCAGUAUUUCACUAUAGAGAUGUCAUUCCGUUAUAUAAGUCCUGAGGGAUGCUGUUAGGUAAAAUUCAUAAGAAAGGUAUUUAUUGGAGUGAGAGAUGUAGUUAGGUAAAAUUCAUAAGAAAGGUAUGCUCUGUGUUAGGUUGAAAAACAUCUAUCUUGCUUGGUAGCAAACUCCACUUUGGCUUUAAGAACUCUGAAUUCUCUUCCAUUAACUUGAACUCUGAAUUCUCUUCUAUUAACUUAACUACUAAUUAGGGAGGAGAGCCAGUGUUCCGCUAUCAAUCACGUUAGCUCAUAAGUAGGGAGAGCCCAGCCCGUGUUCAGCGCUAUCAAUCACGUUAGCUCAUAAGUAGGGAGAGGAAGUAAUAUAAGUAAGGGCAAGCUAACCUUAGUUCUUUCUAUAAACCCUUUCUUUGUCUUGUGCGAAACACCUUCGGCUGGGGAAUUGAAUGUAAGUGCAAAAGGUAUCGAAUCUCACGUGCAUCAUAUCAUAUUAUAUUAUAUAGAAGAAAGUCAACCAAACCAAACCCAGCAGACUUGAUUGCAUCUACUAUACCGGAUUAUAUUAUAUAGAAGAAAGUCAACCAAACCCAGCAGACUUGAUUGCAUCUACGAAAUCUGCUCCGUAAACUCGAUCACUAGCUACACUGUAUUGCUUCAAGACUUACAACUAUCCCAGCUUUGCUUGCUCACUAGCGCUGCGUAAAGAAUUCUUACAGUAGCUUGUGGACAGCUUACAUCUUCUUACUACUUACAGUUGACUCACACAUAACUCUCGGGGAACAACGCUUACUCUCGCUAUACUCUUACUCUCGCUAUACUCUAAGAUAAGAGAUUAACCUAACAGCCCUUCUAAACUGACUUAUGGAAAAUAGAGUGCACACAUUAUAGAGAGAAAAGUCAAAAAACUGCCUACAAUCAUAUUACAGAGAGCGUGACACAUAUAGACAUUUUUCACCUAAGAGAGGAGAGCGCGACACAUAAAUCAAUAAGUCACCUAAUAUCACUGCAACAAGAACCGUAGCAGUAGAGUCACCUUCUACUUCUGGUCUUACUCUUUCAAAAGUUGGAUAAUCUACUUUAAGGGGAAUAGUAUAGAUGUGUCACUUUCCAGUCUUACGGGAAUAGAAAAGUCAUAAGUAUGCUGUCUUUGUUUUGUUACUCAUUUAUAUCAUACUUGCUUGUUUGCGCUAACGGAGCUGCCGCGUAGUGGGCAAGCACCAACCGAGCCUGAUUAUGGGUAACUCUACUACAGAAGAGAAAGUGGGUAAACUACCAAAUAUGAGAUAAGCACCCGAUUGGUUUAGUCUGAGUCUCCCUAAGAGCAUGGAGGCACCGUGAUCCCAAGAUCUAUUAUCUUAUUAAUAAAACAAGCCUUUCCCGCUCGCUCUGAGAAACCCACUCGCUCUGAGAAAACCCCGAACCCGCUCUGCACUUAGCAAAACCUGUACCUUCACCAUCUACUACAGCAAUAGGCACUCUUCACCAUCCACUACAGCAAUAGGCACUGAAGUUGAUUAUGGACUUCCCGUGUAGUGGGCAAUAGCACUCGGGACCUAAAGAAACUAGUAGCCGUCAUUCUCAUACUGGUUAUCAAUCAUUAGUGACAAUAGUCCCUUCCUUAAGAUAUAUCAUUCAAUCCUCCUUAUGAAGAUACAUCAUCAUUUAUGCCCGGACAAAACCUAGUCAUGUAUGUGCUCCUUCUUUCUCUCUCGCCAACCAACCUCACCUUAGUGCUCUUCUUUACUGGAAUUCAGAAAUCCAAUGAAAAGGAAACUACUAUUAAUAAGAAAGAAACGGGAAACAGCCAAGAGAAAUGGACCUCAAUCGUAGGCAAGGGCUACCUCUACCUUUACCUUUCCUUCGCGCAUCUAGGAAUCAGUCCCUUACUUUUCCUCAAAGCCUAUUCUCGAGAAAAUAUGUAUUAGAAAUCCCAUAUGUAUUAUAAGAUAUUGGCCUUGUCUUUAUUCUAAUGUCGCGGCAGAUUCGUGACCAGGGGGUAAGUCCGCUUUGCUGCUGAUUCUAUUACCUGGGACUUCGAAUCGUGAGAAGGAUUUUCUGCUUAGCGUUGACUAGCGUUGACCGGGGCUUACUAAUGGUAAAUAAAGUCCAACUCCUGCUUGCUUUACUCGGAAGAAAUGCUUUGCCCUUACCUGACUCAAUCAUGCUACUUGAAUGAAAGACGGGAAAAUAUCUGUCUUACGAGAUGCCCCAAUCCAAUCCAAAGAGAAAGGCUAAGAGCAAGUGCCACGAUUCUCUAAGAAUGCCAUUUAUGUCAGUUUCUUCUGGGUUUGCUUGGUAUACAGGAGUUGUUACUUUCUCUUCUACUAUAGCUAAUAUGGAAAUCUUUCACGCAGUGGGAUAUGCCCGCUUUCUAUCUUACACUAUACGAAAUGCCUAGCUGACUUGCCCAAGCCUACCCACUCCCUAUGAUUCUAUCAAUCUCGGGAGUUCCUGCCGAAAAGUAAGCCUUUUCCUCGCACCCGAACGUAACUUGAAAGAACGUCUUGAUGGCGAACACUGGACUUGUGCCUUAACCCUACUUUCUCACUUUCACUGGUUCUUCUCUUUCUUCCCAAGCUCCAUUACGUGGGCUAUCUGAACUUCCAACACAGAGAUCCCUGCCGGGGGGCUAUCUGAACUUCCAACACAGAGAUCCCUGCCUUAACUCCCUUCCCAUUUAGGAAUAGAAACUCUAGCUAGCACAACGUCUUUGAACUCCACUCUCAAGUCAUCAUGGAAUUGAAGAGAACCCCUCCCUUAUCGAAGCAUCGGCUAAGAUGUUAGGAUCAAAUGCCUAAGAAGGACUGUUUCUUAGUUUCAAUAGUGACUUUUGCCAUAAGGGGUGUGUGUGUGUUUCCCCUGCCUGAAAAUACUAACAUAAACGCUUGCUUUGACUUCGACUUCUGACUGAACUGCAUCAUAAGAAUCUAAAGUCAGGGCAAUUAGUUUAGUUACAGAGGAUGUAUUAUUAGAUUAAUUAGUUCCACAUAAAGGGAAAGCCUGGAAUAGUGCUUGUAGACAACAUUGGUAGACAACAUGGAGGGAUUUGAUUCUCUUAUUAACUUACCGCAACAUUCGAACUAUCAUUUCACUUUUGUUCUACUUUACUGGAUGAUUCAUUCUUAUCGCCAACCAACACCGAGAUAUUUAACUGCAGCAGAUAUCUAGCUUAUGCGGAUUCUCUUUCUUAUGCUUCCUCAGAACAUUGUUUCCCCUUUACUUCAAAACGAACUCAAGCUCCUUCCUUCUGCAGAUCCUUAUUCUUGACCUUAUUUCUUUCCCUAACCCUGCGAUUGUGAUCUACCAGUACCUUCCUCUAUACCUGCUUUCCAAGCUAUUCUCUUGUCAUCAACACUGUCAACUUGAAACCAGUACUCAUGGCAAAGGCAAAGGUCCAAAGUGAAAGGAGUCGUAUCCCUUUCAAAAAGCAACCGGCUAACGUAGGUAGUUAAGAGCAAGUGAUGUUUUCGAGCUCAAAGUCAUUGAGUUCCGUAUCUUUACCUUGCUUGUAAUGGAGAAUGUCCGUAUAUAUAAUACGAGGCUCAAGCAUAAGUAGGAUUAUCUGAUGGAGUUGUAUCAGAUGACAGAUCAGAAACAGUGUGAGCUCCCGAAAACGGAGAACGGACUCUUAACCUCUAGUAUAGAGCAAGCAGGUAAUAAUCACAGGGGAGUUUCUUUGGGUUGGGUGCUUGAGAAGGCACAAGUAAGGUCAGAGCAGCAAUUCCAGUUCGCGUAUAAAGAAUUGCCAGCCAGUUUUAGUUGACGACUUCAUAUUUGAAGUUCAUAAGCUGUUUCAACGGAAUGAUGCAGUAAUAGUUUUGUAUCUGAGAUCAGAAGAGAGAUAAGUAGGGGAAUGCAAUAAGUAAGGCAAAGAGUCAAGGUGGGAGUGAAGAAUGCAAGGGGCAGGUCAAAGAACGGGAGGUGAACUUGGUCUUCAAGUAAUAUAGCUCAGCCUGAAAGUGACAUCAAUCAGUCAACGAGCAUACCUUCUGUUCGGUCGUCGGUGCACACAAUCAUUCUGUGAGCUACUAUGUCUAUGUUCCCAAUCAUUCUGUGCUAUGGUACAGCAACUCCGGUCCAGCAACUACGUCUUCGCUCGUGCAUCGAAGGGACCGCACCCAUUGUAUCAUUCAUAGCCCAUAUGCACCCAUUGUAUCAUUCAUAGCAGUAGCAUCCCAUAUGUAUGUAUUGGCGAAACAGCCGUGCAACGAAGGGCCGGGCAACGAACAACGAUGGUCCACAGGCCGGUCAACAAUAAAGUGGUUUGUAGGUUCUGAAAGUGAUCAACAAUUCUUCAAGGAGGUGUUCGCACAUCAUUCGAAUUCUGUGAUCUGUCAUUCGCCGUGGAUCAUCUCAUCUCUCAUUCAUCGCAGCGCGGGGACAUCUAAUAUCAUAUGUAUUGGGAGAACCAACAUUGAUUCAACGGGCGAGACAAAGGACUUAGCAAAUAGAAUAUGAAAACACACGCAACUAUUAUAUAUCAUAUGCAAACAAGAAAACACAUGACAUGAAUUCCACUAUUACUAUUAUUAUUCCAAUAUUACUACUAUUAUUCCACUAUUACUAUUAUAAGAAUAUCAUAAGAGAAUAGAGAAGUACAACUACCAUGCAAAAACAAAACCUCAUAAGCCAGAAAGUCAGGAGCAACACAGAGACUUAGGUAAAAGAUAGUCAGAAUGCUAGUAUUGGAAGUAAGCCUAAAAGCAAGUAAGCUAAGAGGUUUGAAUGUGGCCGGUAGAGGCAUACUGAAACUAGGAUAUGGAAUGCCAGGAAUAAGUACUCGAACGAAAAGCUGCGGCUCUACUCUAUUCUUAUGCGGUUAUUGUAUUCCCCAGGUCGAUUCUAAGAAGCAAUAGGAACAGCCUUGUUUUGCUGGGGCUGUAGGUUGGUUCUUAUUGACAGCAGUAGCAGCCGUUAGGAACUAGUUGAGUUGCAUUUUCUAGUUAAGCUCAAUCCUUGUUAGCAACGGGUCUAGUCUCAUAUGCCCUAGCUCUGUUCUAAUAGUUAGUAGAUGGUUUCCCAGUCAGUAGGGUACUUGUUAAUAGCAAUAUGGGUCUUCUACUUAUUGGCAAGGAGUUUAGUAACACAAGCCAGGAGGAUAGUCAGAAUCAAAGCAAGGGAGUUAAGGCAUGAGGACGGGCGGAGUGUCCACAUACUAGAAUCCAACCUGGUAUCGAGUGACAUUAUGCUUAUUACUAGACCAAUUCUUUCCAGUAGUGAUUCCAGCCUUGUUAGACGUUCCUGAGGACCUGUAUUAGAAAAAGAAGUUCAAUCAGACUUGCGAGUUGAGUAAGCUGAGGUUAAGGCAGGGAGGGUACAUAGAGAGUGUCCACCUAAGAUAAGAGAUAGGAAAUUCAGGCUAAAAGGAAGAAGCGUUAACCUUUUUAACAGUAGUAUUAGUCUGCUUGCCACUAGUGGGAUUCUGAGUCGUAUUCGGGUUAUUCUAAUGGUGGUAUUUAGACCCCCCGUCUCGAGGUUGGUUCUAUGUUAUACUACACAUAUCCCGUAUUCUGAGUGACAUUAGAAUAAGCACUGGUUUAGCUCUUUACCUCUCUUGGUGGAUUCCUCUUCUCUUGUUUGAUUAUUUGACUUACUUAUUUAGCAACCUAUCUGCUUUGCCUUUCUUUCUUUGACUACCAACCUUGUUAUAGUGCUCGUGCUCUAAUCGAACUCUGUGGUCACCAACUCUGGCAGAACUCCUAUUCCUUGAAGCCUGCGAACCCGGGGCCCGGCUCUAAUACUAAUAGCAGUUGUAAUAGUGGUAAGAUCUAGGGAAGUAUCCGAUUGACCUCAUAAGUAAGAAGCCGACUCGUAAGUAAGAAAGGGAGUGGGACCAUUACUUAUAGAACCAAACUGGGAAUGGAGAGGAUGAAACAGGCACAUAUGAAUUUCACUAAUAAUAAACAGAAGCAACCUACCGCCCUGAGCACAGCACUUGGUAAUAACCACCAAUAACAUAUUAUGUGUUGUUUCAGAAGACUCCGCACAACAUUAGCAGUUGCUUGGCCCCUUCCUUAUCUAUUCGUUCCAGUUCGAUUCUUAUAAGCACUAGUGAAUUCCGUCUCUACGAGCAUAAAUCGCCCUACUUAUUUGUAGUUAUGGCACGAGUUCUCAAUCAAGUAAGUCUGUGGCCUAACUAAAGGUAGGUGAAAGUCUCGCUCCAUUUCAUAUCUGGCUCGGGAGGUAAAGCUACAAACUAUCAUUUCGCAAUCUUCUAUUGUAUCUCUUGAAGCUGGAAGUUAGAGAAGCAUCUGAAAGCCUGUGAUCAAGAGAAGAAGAUCAGUUUAGGGCUUUCCAUGGAAAACCACUCUUUAUUAGCCUAGCCCUAUGAGUGAACCGUAGCUCACGAACGCUGGACUAAAACGCCGGAAUUGGCUAUUUGUGACAGCUGUAAACUCUGUAAGCGCCAGCAUCCUCUUCUCAAGCAUCCUCCUAUACAUAGAUUAUUUCUUAAUAACAUGGGUAACGCCAACAACGGCUAAAGAUUCUCAAUUCGUUCUUCAAGUUAGUUCCUGAGGUUGUUUACCCUAUUCUUUUCUAUUAUGAGUCACUGCUGUAGAGUGAAGCUGUGUAGUUUAGAAGCCAAAUCCAAAGGGAAGCCUUUCUAGCGGCGAAGAGAACUCCAUAUCCAUAUAUAAGCCCUACGCUUCGGAUUGCCAACCUCGCUUGAGUGAGACUCGAAAGCCUUUGCAAGUAAUAAGUGAGAGCGAUACUUUAUCCAAGCUAAGCUUUCGGCUACAUAAAGAAGCAUGAAUGAAACGAGACAAGCUUUGCCCGACUGAUGGUGAUUGAGGUCCAUCGUCGGCAGGCGGUAUAGAUGGAAAUGGUCUUGCUUGGAAUCUUAGAGAUGAAAUGGUCUGGAAUCUUAGAGAUGGAAAUGGUCUUUGCUUGGAAUCUUAGAACGAAGAAGACAGCAAUGCUGCGCCGGGCCAAGUCGAGCAAGGAUUGAACUCUCUCUCGUGCUUUGCAUUGGAUUUGAGAAUGGGCAGAGCUUAGUGUUGUAAAACAGUUGACUUAAUGAAAAAACCUAGGGAUCAAUGAGGAUACGGGAAUGUCUUAAGCCAGUUGAGGUUUCAAUUUGUACUAUAGAAGACCGUUUUUGUUUCAAUUUGACUAUAGGAUUAUUUACGACGCAAUAGGAAGGAUGAGAGACAGACGGGUUGGUUUCUUUAGCUGAACUCGAUAGAGUGUAGUGGGCAAUAGCAAUAGGAACUCUUAUCUAAAUUCUGGAUUAUUGACUUCACUUCCCUCUGUAUUAUUGACUUAUACAUCUCAGCGCCAGGCAGGUUAAUUAAGUCUAGUAAAGGUUUACUUGUGUUAAGUGCUCGUGUGCGCCUACCUACAGUUUUGUAUGCAAUGAACCCUUCUCUCGGACAAGAACAAGCUUUUCUUUGAACUAACAAUUGAAUACUAAACAAUAGCCUCACAGCUCGUCCUUUAUCAUAGACAGACUGCAGGUACAAACUAUAGAUUGAGUCUCAAUUAGAUAAGACUUAUUCUCUCUUUCUUUCCUUCGAGAUACUCAUUCUCUAUUUAUAGUACACUAACCCCAUGAAACUUUCUAGCUCAAGGCUAGAAGCUACCAACACUUUCCAAUAAAAGAAAGAAAUAGGAAUUCGGUGGAUGGAUGACCCUAGACCUUCCAGAAGAGAAGAUCGAUAAACGAUUAAGCGCCUUAGAGACCAAUGAAAUGCGACCUAGAAGCUAAGCUUUAUUACUCAAAAGUGAUUUUCAGACCUCUUGCUUCUGCCCUCUAUCUAAGAGUACCUUUGAACCUGGAAUAAAAGGGGUGUGUGUCGCAAUGAAGGAUAUAGUUGGAAUAUAUGAAAUAAGAGUCAAGGGGCUUAUCGUAAAGGGGCUUAUCAAGAGGUAAGUAAUAGAAUAGGAGUACCAAACAGAGGAUAGUCAGAUAGUACACAGGCCCCCGAGAAAGUAGUCUAUUUUGGAAUCAUAACUACGAGACUCAAGCAUAGUGAUAGAAGAAGAAAAGUCGCAAUAAGCAUAGUAAUAGAAGAAGAAAAGUCGCAAUAAAAGAAUUCCAGAAAGGAAUGGAAGAUUUGAAGUAUUUCUUCGCUGUGAUAGUAUCAUUAGUCCUCAUUGGGGGUAGAUGUUCGGUUGAGUGUCUGAAAAUGACUACCUAUCUCACUUCCGUAAUUUGGGCUGAAGAACUAGUAGUAACCUGGGUGAAAAGGCUUGGUUUCUCUGUGAAAGGUGAAGUCUAAGUGUUGGGUCAUUACAAUUGGUAUCAAAGCGACUUUGUGGGCAACACUAUUGGGGUGAAAUGGAUAUAUAUGAGAUUACCGCGGGGUGAAAUGGAUAUAUAUGAGAUUACCUCUCCGUAGGGCACACUGAAUAGAGAUUCCUGGCCACAUGAUAAUCCUAAAGGUGAAUUAAGGGGCAUGAGUUGGCCUUGAUGACGACGUCCAAACAAUAGAGUGGAUUAGAUUGUUCUAUUUCGAGUAAUCACACCUCAGAGAAUAUUCCUUUGUAUUCCUUAGUUAUGGUCGUACUUCUACUCAGCCAUGUGGUCAUAGGGAAAUGACUCUAAGAAUUCUUAGGCUAGCAAGUGUAUUGGCUCUGAGAAAGGAGACCUUCUGACUUCUUUAUGUAAGAGUGUUGUGUUAGCAAUGUCAAACAUUUACAACCAUAGCAAGCAAUAAGAACUACAAAACCAUAGCAAGCAAUAAGAACUCAGAAUUUCCACACAUCUUUAUUACUUGUUUUCUUUAGAUGCCAUAUUAGGAGUAAGUAUUAUGCUAUCCUUUGAAGUUUCCCCACAAUUGAAAGAAGAAACUAGUAGGGGUUGACCAUAGCCAACAAUACCAGCCCUGUUAACUGCACAGAAGCCUAUCUGAAACAAAUAGAUCACCAACAGAAGCCUAUCUGAAACAAAUAGAUCACCACUACACUACUUACACCACUACACUACUUACACCACUACACUACUUUACACUACUUAUUAGUUAAUGACAUUUGAUGGAUUUCCUAUGUGUAUUAGUUAAUGACAUUUGAUGGAUUUCCUAUGUGUAUCCGAAUUCUCUGGGUGGUCCAUGCCGUCAGCUAAUCCUUGAAGAGCCGAUAGGGUACCUUGCAGAUGUGAAGAAGUCCAAUAGAGAUAGAUUGAUUGAUUAUUACUGGUGUGCUACAUGUGUUAGUUAUCAUUGUUGGGAGUAUAUUAGAUGCCCGGCGCGCUCACUACGGCGAGUAGAUUAGCUUGUUCCCGCUCAAGUACUUUACUCAAAUGGGGAUCUGCAGCGAAUGAAUUCAAUAGAACGAUUAAGAUUCGCCAUACAUACAUAAGAUUAUAUGAACGCCAUACAUACAUACAUACAUAAGAUUAUAUGAACGCUAUACAUACAUACAUAAGAUUAUAUGAACAUAGGUGAAAAAACAAGAAACAUAAGAUUAUAUGAACAUAGGUGAAAGAACAAGAAAAGGGGGUUUGGUUUCAGCCGUAAACGACGAUAAAUGGGGGCUAGUUCCAUUGCUUAUAGAAGUAGAAGAUAGGCAGCCUUUCCCUAUUAUACUAUAGAUAGAUAUAGAUAGAUAGUUAUAGAUAGAUAGUUGGAGGAAGCCUAUUAUACUAUAGAUAGAUAGUUGGAGGAAGCCAAGUUGAUACUAUUUUCUGGAUACCAUACUUUCUACUUUUUUAGCAUUACGGCCCCUUUCAUGAGCAUUUCUCUAGCUAGCAGUAGGGCCCUCGAAAUGGAAUAAAAGAAAUCGAAAUGGACUUCUAUAGAAUUCCGUAAUCCCACUCGAUAAGAAGGUAAUCCCACUCGAAACAAUAAGGUCAUCCAACUCUCUACUGUAAGUAACCUACUAUCAACUCACGCUUAACUUCAUUCCUAAACUCACUAGCGCCGCUCCACCAAUAAGCUUACUUGCGCCCGUUGGUUGCUUUAAUCAAAUAAUAUGGUAUUGGCAGCCUUACCUUUCUACUAAGCACUAAAUGGACAGAGCACUAAAGGGACAGAGGCAUAGGCACCCUUUACGACCGACAGGAAGGAACGAGUAGACCCACCAGCUUUCCUAAAUGUUGCAUAUAGUCCACAACGAAUAGAAGAUAGAUUCAUUACUUAACAACUAAUAGAUUCAUUACUUAACAACUCUUAUUUAGGCACUGAUCUCUACUUUAUGAGCUUAUUUACACUUCGCCUUUCCAGGAGCUCCUUGCCAGCUUGAUAUCUUUGCCCAAUCUUAUAGGGAGCAUGUCAUAUAUAGGGAGCAUGUCAUAGAAUUUAGUGGGUACCUUACAGCUGCCUCUACCAAAAGAAUGGAACAGCCCAAAACUACCUAUAUUAUUUACCCUCCCUCGCUAUUAAUUUACCUUCCCUCGCUAUUAAUAAGGAUUAUUGGAUUGCUCUCUUUCCUAAAAUCCAAGUAUUCGGCUCUUUAGAUUGAAUUGGAGUGUCAGUUCCUUGUGAUCUCAUUUCUGUCCUAAGAGCAUCUCGUUCUAUUCGUUCUGGCAGGAAGCAAGUCUUAACCAAAUGACAGGAGAAGACGAUGGCUUGGCUCCGGGCUAAUUGGAUUCUUAUAAGCCAGGUGUGUUGUGAAAGUCCGCAACAAAGUGUGACCUUGGCUUUCUAAGAGUAAGCAGUCGAAAGAGAUGAACAUAGGACUUGUUUAUGGCUUGUAAUAACUCCUACAGUUGCUCUCCCUUUCUUUCCUUUCUCGUAGCGUAUAAGAUCUAGUUUCUAGGCGUUUUCUUAUCUUCUUCCCGUCCCCUGCUAUUGUCUUGUUUGAAUAAAUAUCUCCUCUCCUCUCUUUCCAGCAAAUCUAUUGCUAUGGGAAUGUAAGGGGCGAAAUGCUUUUGGGAGUUUCAAAUACACAUGGAUCCUAUGAUUCCCGAAUGGGUCAACCUUUUCUUUGGAACUGCUGCUGAAUCAAUGGCCAAUGAUAAAGAGUGGGGCUUAUGUUAUAGGGGCUUUCCAUGGAAAAAGAGUGCUCAUGCCCUGAAGACUGCAGAUUCGAAUCAUUUCCCCCCUACCGCUUGGUAGAUUAGGCGUGGACAGGAAAGUGUGCAGGAUGUCAAGUAGGUAGGAGUAGUUACCCUUCACACUUGCAUUGAAGAAUCGCGCAUGUCAAAGCAUAUAGGCCAUUGCGAAGGAAAAGCGGGUCACCUCAAUUCCAAUUGUUCAAAGUGAGAAAGCCCAGAAAUCGAUCUUUGAUAUACCCCUGACUUUCUUUCUCUGCUUAUAUCAAAGCUGCUUCCCAUGGCGCGUAUUUCCUGUGGACCGGCCAUGUUUUACAGACUGCCUCAAGGCGGAAUACCCUCCUGUAACGAAUCCCGAAGGAUCAACUCUUUUCAAUUGAGAGCGAGCUGCUAAAUAGGCUACUGGCGAAUUUCUUACCUUUCUAAGCAACGUUGCUUGUCGGUUUGUCUAGUAGUAACUUGGCUAUGCAACUUCCAAUCUUAGGAAUGGUAGUUUUCAUAAAGUAGUAAACUGGGCGGAUACGCUUCCCAAUGGUUCCUUGUAUUCUUUUCCUAUUCUCCUUUCUAUGUCUAUGAGUUUCCACAAAGAAAGAUUUGUGACCUUCCCCUGAUGUUUCUGAAUUCAAUAAAACCUUAUAGUAUAUAAAACUUGAUAGUAUAAGUAUGUUCACAAUAUUGGAGGUGAUAUCAAAUAUGAUGCUAUUCCAACCCCCUGACACUUUCUUAUUCAUGUCAGCAUUGAUUAUAUAAAAUAAGUCAUUAUAUCGGCACUAGUUUCCUUAGCAAUACACAGUUUAGUUCUACAUAUCCAUCUUGAGAAAUGGAGUUAGUAUAGGAAUUUCAUUUAGUAGGCUGCUAAGCUAGUAUAAUAGCUGUUCUGCGCUUAUGAGACUCCGCCCAUUUAUUAAAGUAUUCGGCCCUAUAUUAUGGGGAUCCCUUACCCCAACCCAUAUGUCUUUCCGCAGGUCUUACAGUCAACAGGUUUGUCGGGAAAUAUACAUAACCAUAUUUUGCACCGCGCAUAUCGUGUCAUUGCUCCUCGCCUCGCCCCGCUUCCAGCGGACUCUAAUCUCACUCGGGCUACAAUACCUAUGGCUCUUCCUUGAACUCCACUCGACUUUCUGGUUACCAAUUAUAUACAAUACACUUUUCUUGGUGCAUAACUAUCUCCUUGACCUCGAACAAACAUAACUCCUAUACAGUAAGUGAACAAGCUUAGGCGCUAACAGGAAGUGUAGUUUCAGUUUCAAGAUCAGUUUCAAGAUAUGAGGAUCCGUUCUCAAGUAAUCCGCAAUCUCAGUUCGACACGACCGACAGAAUGGAAUUGAUACAAAAAACUCCACUCCGGAAAGUGCAAGAAGAAUUGAUAGCUAUCCCCAUAUAUGUCAAUUGAGUAACUAAGCUUCUUGUCCCAUCUUCCUCAUCGCCCAGCUGCUAUACCUUGAAUUGAAUACGAGAGAGGAGGUGUUAGGCUUUCACCUAGUAGUUUCGUGGAGUUCGAGAACUAAUUAAUACACACCUCUACGAUUUUAGGAUGCAAAUCUUUGUUUUGAAGUCUGCUCCGAGGUUAAAGUACUGGUUUUUUAACGGAAAUUGACAUUUAAGUACUUCUUUUUGGCAUCUACCUCGUCAAAGGGCUCAAUAACACUGGUUCAGUGUGCUUCUUUACUAAGAGCUAUACCAUGUGCUCGAAAUACAUAAUGGGAUUCCACACUUCAAGUCUUGUUCGGGGUCGGUAACACCUCUCUAGUUUGUAACUAAUCCUUUAACACUCCUGGACUUCUACUCGAUAGAGUGAUCGAAUCGGUAGCUGUGCGUGCCAUGGAUGGAAUUUCUCUAAUCGACCGCUAUUAGAUAGAUGGAUUCGCCUCGAGGUUUGUGCGAUAAGACUUGUUUGUUCUCCCUUUCACACGGAGCGCUCACUCGAAAUAUCAUAGAAUAUAGAGAUCGGAUCGUCACCAGGCGAAAGAUAGUUCCCGCACCCGUUGAAGAAGCCGUGAUUGCUUGAGGUGAAUCAGUGGAGUUGUGUAUAUAAGAUAGAGGUUUCGCUUGUAAGCCAAGCAAGUAAGUCGCCAGCUUUCGAGAUGAAUGAGACCAUUUCUUUCUCUUGUGUUACACCCAAACAAAACUCCAGUGGUAGUAGAGUCCGGGGAGUCCCACAUCGCCCGUCGCCUCGAAGUAGUGAGGGACAGAGAGUGGUCAAUCCGAACAAGAGAUUAAGAACCAAGACCCCCAAUUAUGCAAAGAGUACUAACAACGCUUCAAAGAACAUUUUCUCGAAUGGCAAACGGCCGCUAAAACCAAGAAAAGUCAAACCUUAAUAACCUUCAGAUCAAGAGCAAAACGCACUCGAGAAUUCUCCCAGUAACCACAGUUGGCCCAGAGCAUGAGUUGACACCGAAAGGGAUUGCCAAGAGGCAAGCUCAUAAGAGAAAGCCACGAAAGAAGAACGGAUCCCACAAAAAAGGAAUAGAACUUAUACGCUCGCUGUGGGGAAGGUAAGGAUUUCUGGUUGGACUUUAUGCUGGACGGGUACGUGAGUAUGCUUGGGGAGCCGCUUUGCUAGCUUGCUUUGUACACUCGGACUCAUGUGGAUAGUAGCUCCACGUUCAUAACGCUUUGUCAGGCAAUUUCCAGAAAGAUAUGUCGUCUUUCGGGCACCCCUACUAUGCUUUCUAUUUAGUUCAGGCUCCCCAGGGACGAAGUAGACCUACUCUGGUGUGUAGGAAGGCAAUAUUCUCAAUUUCUCAAAGUGCUUUAGGUUCUUAGUUUCAAUCGGCUACCUUUGAUCUCUUCUCUUCGUCAUCCCGCUUAGAAUAACUAUCAGAAUAAAGAGCUUGGAUUCUAUAUACCACCAGCUUUCCUUUCGGGGUCAGGAAAUAAGGAAUAAAGGGAGUCAAGCCAUUCUUUGCUUUGUCAGAAGUCCCAGUAUCCGGCACUCCAUCUCUUUCGAGGCUUUAUUUCUUUCAUUUCGGCUUAGCUUUAAGAAGGGCUUUCGCUUAAGGACAUAGAGAGACUUCGAACUGCUCCAAAUAGAAAGGUUAAGCCCGCGUAUAAAGACUUGUAACUGGACCUUAUUACCUCUCAAUGAAAGAACGAACUUCAGUUACCUAGCAUCAAGCUUGCUACCCUUGAUUGCAUUCUUACUAGCACAAGCAUCAGUCUUGGAGUUACUGCUUUCAGGCUUAAGAACCCCGAUAAUGGCAGGGAAUCGAUAGGAAUACAGAGGGAAUCAGCGGGCACCGCAUCAGUCUACCUAGCAGCUGUACCAGAGCUACCCCAUACUUCAAAUACCGAGCAUCAGUCCGGUUAGCACAAGUUUCAUCCUGAUACUACUUGGUUCUAUUCUUUGAUUUAGUGGUUUAAUCCUAACCUCCUCCGCUCCCUUCCUAUCCUGUGACUACUAAGCUCCAGUCUUCCACAACCCAGUUUCAGGCUUGCAUCCCGUAUUCAUAGCUUGGAGUUCAGGCUUGGACUCCUUUGUCUCAGUCACCAAGCAACUACUAAUGACCAAGCCUCCAACUAAGCACUAAGUAUACGCUUGGCAGUUGCAAGAGAAGUAAUAAGAAGAGUAGAAAGUAAGGCAGAAAGAACCUCAUUUCUAUCUACAUUUAUGAGAAGUAGUAAUGUUAUGGCAAAGCUGUAAGGCUGUAAAGAAGCUGAGAAGCAAGGAACCAGUCACUAGUUACGCUAACUGAGCUCCCUCCCUCCAUUUUGAAAGCAAUGUGCUGCUAGUAAAUAAUUGAUAUAUUUUGAGUAAGCAGCAAAUGGUUCACUAACAGAGCUUAUUAUUCGUUGCUUGUUGGUUCCGCAUAGUUAAUGGUUCUUAUCUUGUCUUAUGCCAAUAUUCUAUCUUCCUUAGAGUUGCGCUAACAUUUACUGGCUUGAGUCUCGGGGUGCCUACAUUCGUGCUUUUUAGUCCAUAGCUGAGCUAUUACUCUAUUCUAUUGUAUUAUGUCUAUGUUCCUUUCUUUCGCCUGAGUGCCUAGCUCUGACUUUCCGGGGUGCCUAAGGAAGCAAUGCAGUUUUUCCUCUAUUCUCGUCCUUUUAGGAAGUAAUGCACUGUUAGGUUAAUCUCUUAUUUAUAGACUUUUCGCAUGCCAUUCCAUUCUUCCGCUUAUUCAGUGAGUUCGCCAAAGCCAAAGUUCAUUAGUGAAUUCGUCUUCACACUGGCAAGAAUAAUCAGAUAGGUAGCUGCUUCACACAGGCCCCAUCGUUCAAGAGAAGUGAAGUCAAAAGUACGGUUUUCGUAUCAGAACAAGAAGGUUGUAUCAAAACUGGUUAUUAUUGAAUCAGAGGUGUUGCCCGAGUAUAGACACCUAUUUCUCAUUAUGGAAUCCGUUGAGUUUGGUUCGGGUGCUUGUGUUGCAGUUGAUGAAGUAUAAGUGGAAGUAGGUGAUUGUGCCACACGAGCUCUACUUUACUGUCUCUCGGGCUUACUCCGCCAGGUAGUCAAUCUUACUCACCAGGUAGCCAUAUCGUACUCACCGAUAGCGCCAAGCCUUAUAAUGCCUAUAAAAGAACAUACUUUAUUACACAUAAGAUAUUAAGGGAAACUUGGAAGAAAAUCACUACUAGUCAGAAUGAACUGUAGUAAACUAAGCCUUACCUCUUUUCACUCAAACCUAUGCUCCCAACUCCAACACUACCUUUCGCGCUUUAACAGCAGUUUCUCAUUCCUUUCAUUCAUGCCCAGCGUCCUUACGAUAAGUAGUCUUUGAUUUACUGGCAGAACAGAUCGAUGAUCCUAUCUUCUUGGAUCCAAUUAAGAAAUGACUAAUAAACCAUGGUGAAUCAGCUGACGGAAUAACCUUUCCAAACUAAGGGAUUGGUCUCCUCCCUUAUGAAACCUCUAUAAAAGCCCUUUACCUUUGACUUUGCAUUUCAUAAUAGUAAGGUCCGCCUUGCAAGCCAAGCCUGAAUUUGCUGUUUUGGAAUGUGGUGUGGGUCUAUGACAUCAGGUAGCCUGCAAUCGAAGAAUGAGCCAACAGAGUGACCAUGUUAGUUGAUUUGCUCUUCUUCAAUCGGGUUUGUUUCGCAUUUGGGCAGCGACAGCCCUCCACCUGCGUAGCACUGACACUUGCAUCACCUUUCUUAUAGCCUCCGAGAUCUGAUCCUUUUGGUUUGGCAUCUCCGUUUUUGGAGUACUCUUAUUAAUGAACAUUUUAGAUAAUUGCUCAAAAGCCCGCCAACUUAGAAUGAUCUAGUGAAGUAAACCACUUCAGUGCUACGGGCCCAUAAUACUCUUAUGGAACAAUCGGAUGGCAGCCCAUUCGUCUUUCUAGAAAUAAAGGUCAGACAUCGUCACAAUGAGCUUUAAGAUGAGAUAGAUAGGACAACCUUUUCUUUCGUUGUAUUUUGAGAAUGACUUGGAACCGUAGUUGUGAAUCAGGAAAAAGGCGAAAAUCCAUGAGGUGGAAAAACCGCCAAUGCCUUUCGUUUUCUUAAAGAAAUCCUAAAUCCAAGUUAUUUCAUCUUUUUCUGUGUACUCGUCUAUCUUAGCAGGGUGAAUAGGAUAGGAUUUGACUAGAAGCUAUAGGGGCAAGGUGGUUGGAGAUGAGCUAAACUCCAGUGGAAUAACAGGGGCUAGUUGGAUCACAGGGGAAAGCACAUCAACAGAAAGGUUAAGACAAGGUUUGGGGAUUGAUUGGUCUACUUGGGGUGCGGUUGAGUCCUUCCUCUAAAGAAAUCGCGUAAUAAAUUAGUUCAUCGAAGCUAGUUCCAUACAGACAGAGGCCGAAUGAUGUGAUGCUCAGAUCGAUUCUCGUUGAUUCCAUAUUAUUGAAGUAUUCUUAUUAUACGAAAGAGGGAAAGAUUUCNNNNNNNNNNNNNNNNNNNNNNNNNNNNNNNNNNNNNNNNNNNNNNNNNNNNNNNNNNNNNNNNNNNNNNNNNNNNNNNNNNNNNNNNNNNNNNNNNNNNNNNNNNNNNNNNNNNNNNNNNNNNNNNNNNNNNNNNNNNNNNNNNNNNNNNNNNNNNNNNNNNNNNNNNNNNNNNNNNNNNNNNNNNNNNNNNNNNNNNNNNNNNNNNNNNNNNNNNNNNNNNNNNNNNNNNNNNNNNNNNNNNNNNNNNNNNNNNNNNNNNNNNNNNNNNNNNNNNNNNNNNNNNNNNNNNNNNNNNNNNNNNNNNNNNNNNNNNNNNNNNNNNNNNNNNNNNNNNNNNNNNNNNNNNNNNNNNNNNNNNNNNNNNNNNNNNNNNNNNNNNNNNNNNNNNNNNNNNNNNNNNNNNNNNNNNNNNNNNNNNNNNNNNNNNNNNNNNNNNNNNNNNNNNNNNNNNNNNNNNNNNNNNNNNNNNNNNNNNNNNNNNNNNNNNNNNNNNNNNNNNNNNNNNNNNNNNNNNNNNNNNNNNNNNNNNNNNNNNNNNNNNNNNNNNNNNNNNNNNNNNNNNNNNNNNNNNNNNNNNNNNNNNNNNNNNNNNNNNNNNNNNNNNNNNNNNNNNNNNNNNNNNNNNNNNNNNNNNNNNNNNNNNNNNNNNNNNNNNNNNNNNNNNNNNNNNNNNNNNNNNNNNNNNNNNNNNNNNNNNNNNNNNNNNNNNNNNNNNNNNNNNNNNNNNNNNNNNNNNNNNNNNNNNNNNNNNNNNNNNNNNNNNNNNAAAAAAAGUAGAAUUUCAGAAUGGAACACUAUCCCACCGAGUAAGAAUGCAAAUGAAACCAAAGAAACAGAAGAGGUAUGAUAGAAUGAGAUGAUAGUCCACUACCAUAGAAGAAUUGGAAUCACUAAUAAAGGCUUUCCGCACCUUUAGGAGAAGGUUCGUGGAACAGAACUGGGGUUGGGCAGUCAGGAUACUUAGAAACGAAUACUAGUAGUUAGGGGUCAGACUAAUGGAAGGAUCCGAUCAGUAGCAAAGAGUCUUAUUUACGUUGGUUUCAUUCUACUGGUUGGUAGUUAAAGUCCAAUCAGUACUAGUAGAUUUCUAAUAGCAGUGGUUCGAUCCCGAGUUAGUGGUUGUUGUCUUAGAAUCAGUAGUCGCAGCCGUAUAGUUAGGCAGUAAGAUCCCCCGUUUCGAGUGUGAGUAUAUCGGGUAGUGUUCGAUCCUUGUUUUGACAUUGGUUAGAGGACCCGGAUGCCGAGUGCAAUUCUCACUUCUUUCCCACACCGCGUAGAACUAACAAGCUAUACUUGGGACCCGGACUCCCAUCCGAUGUAUCCUGAGCCCGGUUCCACUAGACCCCUAAGUAUUAGUCUCCUGUUUUCCAGUAGUACCCUUAUGCUUAGUAGCCCUAGUCUUAGUAUCCAGAUUUCUAUCCUUAUUUCUAUACAGAGCGUAUCCGAACUUUCGGGGUGGAUUCUGACUCUUUCUAUCCUCUUAUAUUAAUGAGCUCAAUGCCGAAACGAAACGGGACCCCGAUACACAUUCUUAUACAACUAGAUUGAGUUUUCCGUACUGAGAGUAGAAGUCCUAGUUUUGAGUUCCAUCCUUCAAUCCAUCCUAGGAGUCGCUUCAUUCUUAUACUUAUUAGUUUCAUUCCUGUUUCUUUCUUGCGGUAUUUCAUUAUCUUAUCUAUUAGCUGGAUUCCGAGCUAUGAGUCAAAGUACUAGCGCUUUUCUUACUCAAGUCGUCUUAGUUGCAAGAUCAAGUCUUAUCGACAGCAGUGCCAGUUUGCAAGCGAAUAGCGGUAGACUUCUUCGUGUAUAAGCGGGCUCUAUAAAUGAGUAAGCAAUGCUUGGUGCGCUAAAGUAGGCUUGUAGUUUGUGGUUAAAGAAAGCGAGCUAGGCAGGGCAGCUUUCAGGUAGUAAAGAAAGACGGAAGUGAAGAGCGAGCUAGGGCAUACAAGAAUACACCACCUGACAAGAACCCAGGCUCUGACUAUUGAUCCGGAUCCUUUCUCUUUUAUCUUAAAAAAAGGAAUGGGACUACUAACUAGCAAUUGAACCACUGUGACAACAAGAAUCUAGCUCGAAUAAGGAAGAACACCAAUAAGAAGAAGUCCGAGCCUAUCUCUGAAACUUUGACUGAUGUUAAUAAGAAACGAACUACUGAUCUCGAAUCUGACCCACCCCAUCCCAAGAAAGACACUAGGCUGACUUUACUGUUUCUUAGAACCAAAGCACUGCUUACUUAUAUGACCUUAACUCCGAACUCUAAGCCAGUCCUUACUUCAGCUGAGUCUUACUCCUCUGACAAAGACUUCUACUUGCGACUUUCAAUACCACUUCUACGUGAGAGUCUUACGGCAUUCCCUACUUAGGGGUUUUGGGCUUCUACUGCUUUAGAUCAGGCUGACUUUCCCCUAUCGCAGUUUGCCACUCAGGUCUCUAAACCUUACUUUGCUAGGAUGAACCUAUACUUAUAAUACUUCACUACUAAUAGGAACCACUACUUAAUAGAAUCCGAACUAGGUAAACCACGCCUGACUCUUUAAUCGAAUCCUUAUUGGCUCCUAGCUCCCAGGCACCUGACCUAUCUCCACGUACGGCAAGCAAGUCUUACUCACUAGAAGUUCGGGGACGCUUCGCUAGGUACUCAGAAUUUCACCACUAAAUCAAAGCCUGAAACAAGGUAGUUAAAGAAUCAAACUAGUAAAUCAAAGAAUCAGACACCUAUCCCCAUAAGUACUGAAGUCCUGAAUUGCUAUCCCUAGUUGCAUCUGUGUUUGUUGGGUCAAGAAAAAGUAAGCAGUUAGAGCGGAGCCAGUAGGAAUUGGUAGCGCAUUCCAUUCUUUUAUAGCAGACUUAGAGUUAGAGCACCAGUGCCUGUGAGAAAGUUAGGAAAGGGAGCUGCUCUAGUUUCAUCUCGAGCACCGAACCUAUCUCCACGACAAGAAAGUUAGGAACUGCUAGUAUACUUUCAAGAUCCCGAUAAACCUCUGCUUUAAGCGCCUACCUAAUUCACUUCAUGGUUGCCUACCUAAUCAAGUCUCAAGUAAGCUCCCCGCUAGGCUAGCUAAGAUAACAAAGGUCGAGUAUCGGUCUCAGAGCCGGAAGAGGGCAACAUAUGGUAUAGAACCCAAAGUAAAGAUACUGAACACACAGGAACUUCCUCACCAGCUCCACUAUCUUAUGUCGGAUACAUAUCUCUCAGUUGCUUCAUCUACUGAUCUCGUUUACAAAACCAUAACUUCGGAUUCAGUUGCUGGUUCAGAGGAUCUGAUUGCCCUCACUCCCGGUGUCAUAUAUGGAAGCUACUCUCUGGGUUUGUUUACAGCCAGCCCGAUCCUUAUACUUACAUAGCUCUGGUACUUACAUAGCUUGUUGCUUCUAUAACUCUACUUCAGGAUCAUGCUACAGGUGCUAAGAGGUCUUACCUACCACAACUCGGUUAAGGGACAGCUGUCAAAUAAUCCAUCCACAGAGUCCUCUCUUAUUACCACCUUUUCUAUACUAAACACUGCAUCCCUUCCGCCAAACUCACUAUAUCCUCCCUCUUUUGGUAGGCAUUCAUCAAAAGAAAGAGUCGAUUCGAGAUACGAGAUUAUUCCCGUAAGCCAAACACUUAAGAAGAAAUCUCCGCUUUAGAUAUUCCCUUACAAGAGCAAGCCAAUCACCGACACCGGACCUAUAAAUUCCUCACACUGCUUCAUCUUCUGAUCCAGAAACAGUUGAUUGAGAGUCGACAAUCACUUUCAUUGCUAGAGCGAGACAAUCAGUCCUUUCUGCUGCCGACAAGCGUUACUUACUUUCAACAACACCUUUACUUGGUUGGGCAUUCGAAAAGAUCAGAUAUAGUCGACUUUCCUCUAACUCCACCUCAACUUGAAACAAAGAAUUAUGAAAAUCCAACCAGAACUGGAACUGUUACAGACUUUCAAGCUUAGUUUGGGGAAUCUGAAAGGGAAGGUUUGAAGCACCUUACUCACUUCUAUCAUUGGUGCUCAAUAAGAAAGUGACUCACUUCUAUCAUUGGUGCUCAAUAAGAAAGUAUUGACUCGGAACAAGAAUAGAAAGAUUCAAUAAAAGGUGGACUUGAUUCGGCGUAAGAAAGAACGGUUUUUGUCUUUCUUUUUGUCAUCGGGCUGUAGUUUAGUUCCAGUCUGAAGCGUUAGGAAGUUGAUAACAAAGUAUAGAUUCAUGGCUAAAAUGCACCAGAGGGACCCUUUCUUAGUGGGAAAUAACAUUUCCAUUAGCUAUUAAGAACAUAGGUGAAAUGACGCUUAAGAAGCCUUCUAAAGCAUAAAGCAUAUUCCUGAAGUAUAGUAUCCACCAUCAAGCGCUUCUUUACUUCAAGUAGAGUUAGGGUCGGGUAGGGAAAAGAUAGUAAUUAAUAACAGAGGCCGGCAAGCAAGGGAACCAUCAAGGGAAGCAGUGUUCUUAAUAAGAAUCAAGGUAAGCAGUUUAGGAGGUAGGCCAGAGAACCAGUUAGAGCCGAGCCAGUAGUUUAGAGUUGAGGUCGGGUCAGGAAGCUGUUUCAUCUGUAGGCGUAGUGGUGAAGUUGCAUCUGUAUUAGUUGACUCCGGUGUAUUAGUUGACUCAGGUAGAUGAGCCAUAGGGUAAAGAUGUUAGGAAGAAAUUGACUUAUACAGCCGAGAAGUGGAUGAAAUAGGGAAUUGUCUUGUUCCAGUGAUCCAGUAGCGUUACAGUUCAAGUUAGAGUGGAAUACCGGUAGUACUAUAGCGUAAAGGUCUAGGUCAUCUGCUUGUGUUCAGCAAGUAGUAAAUAGAUAAGUAGUUGCUAAGUAGUAGGCUUGGCGGCUCGGGUAGUUACUUGGCGAGUAGAUAAUUUCUUCUAUCUUUAUUAAGGAAACCGGAACUCUGAAUUCCAAUACUCAGCGCUUAUUGUAAGUUCAGCUCAGUGACUUUGUCUCCGUGUAGGGCAGUUUCGAGUGUCAAUUCCCAUUCUUAAAUAAGAUAAGAUAGGCCAAGAAACAGUACUAGAGCAAGAAAGCUGAAUGGAAUUAGCUGACUACGGAGACGAACAGAGGUUUAGGAGCAAUAAGUAUAUUUGUUUACAGAGCCAGAGAUGAGCCUCAUGCAGCAAGUAGGAAUUAAGUUAGAUAAGGUAGAGACACCCUCAUAAGUAGAAAUUACUGAAUUGAACCACAAGUAGAAGAAUGCAGUUAAUAGUUGACAGUUGCCAUAGGUAGAGGAGAGGAGCCUAAUUCAGUUAUUAGUGGACAGCUUUGCUUGUUGAAAUCAGUAUUUGUUUACAGAGGAUUGGUAUAGUUGACAGCUGCUGGGCUAGUUUAAUUACUUGCUUGGCGAGUGGAAUUACUUGUUUGAUUCCAAUACAAGGGAGUAGGGCUUGUUGAAGUCUUUUACUAGUUAUUCAGUCAGUUAGUAGUUAUGAACUCAGUUGGCAAGUAGGGAGAAUGUCCUGUUCCUUUACUUGUAUAGUAGGGAGAAUGUCCUGUUCCUUUACUUGUAUAGUCGUUGCUUGGCCCGAUGUCACUACUUAGCAUCUGUAACUCCGGUAGGGAACUUGCUCUGUUACUCAGGUAGGGAAAGAUACUUAUUGAACUAACGCAGUUACUUAGCCCCCUUUAUGAAUUUACUUACGUAAUAUAAGUAAGGCAACCGGAACUGGCCUUAACCUUGUUUGUCCUACUUUUGGUGUUCAUGGUGGCAGGGCAGGGAAAUCAGAUCCUCAUGGCACACUACUUUAUGCUCUUGUUGUUGGCAAAGGUGAGGAAGCCGGGUUGACAGUUCCAGUUCUCAAGUAAGGGUAAGGUUCUGUAGUUCCUAGUUGUGAGUUAGAGUGUAAGACCGGUUAGUAUAAUAUUAAGAGAACUCAGUAGUCAAAGAGCCAGUAGUUGUAGUCCCGGGGAUAAGAGAUAUGGUAUAAGAGAUAUGGUAUAAGAGAUAUAGGAGCUAGUAGCCGAGGUUCACUCAUCGGUCAGAAUUGCACUCUGUAGUCAAAGCGCAUCUAGUAGAAGAGGGUUACUUCGCUCUCCGCUCUAAUCUGAGUCUUAUACUUGUCUGAUUGGUCCCUAGUUUCAUCAGUAGUAGUAGAGAGGUGAGCUAUUGGGUAUAAGCCUUAAGUCAGUGGUCCUGUGUUCGGGUACUCAGACUGGUGCUUAGGUAUUGCAGGCUGAAGCUGGGUAGCUAAGGUCUCUACCUAGUGCUGCUAGUUAUUGGUAUGUUGCUGGGCAGACUGAAAGCAAGGAGAGCUAGCUCCGACUUAAACCAGUGAGUUACAGACUGAUGCGGGGCAUAGCAAGAAUGAGAGGAAGUAGUUACAGAAUAGACCUAUAGGGCGAGCAAGACUCAAACCAGUGCCCACUCAGAGCCAACCCACUAACAACCAGAAUCAAACUAGCAACUAUCAGAAUGGAACUCCUAAGUAACAGUCACUUACCACAGCCCCGAUGCCUAGGUAUAAGAUCCGAAUUGAACUCAUAGGUGAGCUAGUAGGAGCUACCUAGUACUAAGAUCAGAAUUCCACUCAGAGGUCAGCUAUUUGGGAAGUUAGAAUUGAACCACUAACAACUACUAGGCCAGCAUCUAGGGCAACUACUUAGAGGUGAGAAUACAAGUCAGUAGUGCAAGUUAGAAUUGAACUAAGGAGUCCAAGCCUGAGCAGAGGGAGCUCGCUAAACUCAGACUGAAACCAGUGUGCGAGUAAGACUUAUGCUCGGGAGUUACAGAAUUGAACUAGUUGUCGACUUAGCGGGGUGCUCUUACUCUUGGGGCGGGCUUUCCCUUGUAAUAUAGUUAGGGUCGGGGUUCCUAUUGCCUAUCAAACAAAUAGAGCCUUGUCUCACUCCUAUACGAGUGGUAGGCUUGUUUACUGACUUGGCCCCUACUAAAUUCUAUAUUAUCUUAUUAAGGAUAAUGUUUAGAGAAAGAGUUAAGUGCGAACAAGUAAAGGAAGGAGAGUAGAGGUUGUAAAAGGUGAGGAAGCAGUCCUUUGUUCACCGGUAUGAGUAACAAAUCUAUAGAAAAUUCUCUGAUAAUUAAGUGCCAGGAAAGUCAAGUUCUAGGGCAUAGGAAGGAUCUUAAGCUGUUCGGUAUCUUGGUCUUGGCACAGGUUAGAGGUCAGCAGCAAGCGAGAAGGUAAGGUAAGUGAAUCCAGAGUAUCAAUAAGCUCAAAGUGGGUGUUGCGCUUAAGUAUCAAGUUCAAGUAAGUCAGCAACCCGAUUACUAACGCUAAAAACAGGACUUGCUCCAGGCGAUGAAGGGAUGGUUUACCUUUCUUGUCUUAGAAAGAGAGAAUCUUAUGGAUCCGUAUCUGUUGUAAAAGAAGGAUCAGUUGCAGUAUCAAGAGCAAAUAAGUCCAUUUGAAUAGAGGAUCUGGACCAUAAGUGGUGAGAUCCGUUCUUGUCUCUAAGGAGAGUAAGGAGCUGCCCUGCCCGUUCUUAGUAGUGUUACGUUCGAGCAUUGUUUGCAAAAGAGGUUUUUGGCAACUUAGACUUCAAUCCUAUAGAUGGGUUGGUUGGUGGCUUCAACCAGUACCCAGCAAGCCUUAAAGCGAGGGCAGCUAGUAAGGAACACAGAAUUCACCAAUAAUCAAGAAUAAGGGAUCUACUAACCGGUCUGCUUCUCUGCAUCCCUAUUAAACCAGUAAGUCCAAGAAUGAGCCAAGGUAAGGAAAGUAUUAAUUGACCCGCCCCAGUGACAGUGAGAAAGUGGGGUUAUGAGAGGCAGUCUCGGGAUACAAUUCCAUACCAGAGUAGAGGUACGCAAGGGAAGAAAGAGAAUCCGGGUUGGUAGUAUAAGUAGGGCGCUACUCUUUGAGUCUAGAUGAAAUUAGUAGUUGCCAGCAGCAAAGCAAGUGGAAUGAUUUGUUUCAAGGGGAGUUUCAUCUGGUCUGGGUGUUGAAAGGAGAGUUGAGAGUUGUAAGGUAGUUACAGAAUGCAACCACUGCCACUGAUUCCUGUACUGAUGUUAGUGGUAUUGAUUCUCUGAUGAGCUAGUAUUGGUAUGUAGCUAGUAAGCCCUAAGUUCACAAGUGAGAAUUCCCCCCUUAUUAUAAUCCGACUGAUUCUUUCACUCCGCAGUCAAAGAAAGAAACUAGUAAGUAUAAGACCUCAACCGGUGAGUAUAAGCCUGAAACCAAACCAGUAACGACCAGGCUAUAAACCUAGCAACCAGAACCAGUGAACUAACAACAAGACUUCAACUCAGAGGUGAGCUAGUCGGAAAGGUAUUAAUUGCCUGCUUGCUGCUAGGUAAGCUAGUAGUUAAGUUAGAAUGAAACCCAUAAGUCACAGUCUUCACAGGCCCGCUACUUAUUAAGGCUUGCCCGCAUCUGAAGUAAGAAUCAAACUAGUCAGAUAAAGGCUAAGGACUGAACUCAGUAGUUACAGAAUGACACAGGAGACCAUCCAGGAGUGCUAGCUUUGAUGCCCUGUCAAAGGAAUGAAUCUAGUUUACUUACCGCCAAGAGGGAGAGGUGAGCUAGUAGGCAAGUAAAAGACAAACUAACACACUAGAAUAAGGAAUGGAAGAAUUGCCCUCUUGUUUAAGAAAGUCAACUCGAAUUGCCUGGCCUGAUUCCGAUUGCCUAACACCGAGAGAAUAUCCUUCUUAAGCUCUUGUUAGCGGUGCGACUUACUAUUUCGUAUCAAGAAGAAGAGAAUCAGCUGUUUCCAGAGCUGGAUCUAAAGAAAAGAAUGAAGCAGUAGGCGAACUAUGAUUCUGCUUCAACAAGACUAAGUGCGCUAACUGGUUACUUUCCGGGCGAAGGAGUGUACUCUUACUUAAACCUAUACUAUAGUCACUAUCUAGAUUCAAUUAGUAAACUCCCCAGAGUAACUAUCUAGAUUCAAUUAGUAAACAAUCGGAUUCUCUCUCUCUCUCUGGGUUACUUGAAUAUUGAUUUGUUACUGCGCCAACAACACCUUUCCUUUCUACCUCAGCUGUAUAGAUUAGUAUUAGAUUGGAUUUCUUUAUACGAUGAAAGUCAACUUGCAGUUCUGAACCGCCAACACCGAGAUCCUCUACAUCUCUUACCUCUUGCUCCGAGACCUUAGUCAACAACUACUGAUUCCACAGCUGACCUUGCAAGACCCAACAAAGACAGAUUCAAAAAGCAAGUAAGUCAACUAAGUAAACCAGCCUAUCCCUUAACUACCCUAACAAGUAUUUCGUAC
Molecule: long non-coding RNA, 59683 nt
Filed under: Musa acuminata (dwarf banana)
Lineage: Eukaryota; Viridiplantae; Streptophyta; Magnoliopsida; Zingiberales; Musaceae
Description: long non-coding RNA (MACU_LNC009111)
Source: RNAcentral